This is a non-coding RNA of Podarcis lilfordi (Lilford's wall lizard), 78361 nucleotides long. NCBI's taxonomy places the organism in Eukaryota, Metazoa, Chordata, Lepidosauria, Squamata, Lacertidae. The record is from the annotation of a GenBank genome assembly.
CUGAACUGCUGAGGGGAGAUGGAGACAUUUUUGGAUUGGAGUCCUCCUGAGACCUACCCCCCAAUGAGAAAGGAAAGAAAUUAAGAAAAAGAUCAACAAAAGACAAAGUAAAGGGCAGGUAUAAACAAGAAGAAGAUCUGCAGAAGGGACAUGGAAAAGACUUAAGAGCCUCGGACAUAAGAUUGGUUGAUGGACUAGAUGGAAUGGACAAGAAGGACUGACAAAACCCGAGACCAGGAAGAAGAGACGUUGGAUGAAGAUUGGAAGAAAGUUUUUAAAAAUUUAUUUUGAGAAUUAGUGUAAAAUUAACGAGUAUUAGGAAAAAUGUUGGAAUGAAACUAUUUGGCUUUAGUAGAAAUGAUAUAAGGAGUUAUAUACAAAUAAGUAUUAAGUUUUAAGUUUUAAGGUUUUUUUUAUGGUAAGAUAAGGUUAAAUAAAUUAAGAUAAAUUAUAUAACAAAAAUUGAGAAAGAUGGAAAGAAUUUGCUGAAACAAUUAAUUAAAUUAGAAUACAAAAAGGGAGGUGUGAGGAGGUCGAUGAAUCAAGUAAAUGAAAGAUAAAGAUAUGGAACAUUGGAUGUGUGUUUUAAUGUUAUUGUUGUUGUUGUUUUUGCUGUAUUGUUGAAUUGUUUUUUAUGCUUUUCUUUUUAUGUAUUGUAAUGUAUGUUUUGUCAAAUUUUUUGUUGUUUUCUUUUUCUCUUUCUUCUGUAAUUCUUAAACUUUUAAUAAAUAUCAUUUAAAAAAAUAAAAAAAUAAAAAUCGAGGAUCCCCUAACUACCGGAAUAGUUUGAAACAAGAACAGCAUUUUCGGGAGGAUAUUCAUCUUGAUUGCCGCCAUCCUUCCGGACCAUGAAAGUUUUAACCUAUUCCAUAUAGCCAUAUCUUUUUUAAUCUCUUUCCACAUAGGUGUAUAAUUGUCGCUAAUUAAAUUAAUAUUUUUUUGAGGUUAACCAGAUACCUAGAUAUUUGACUUUUUUUGUGACUUUAAUUCCACAUUCCUGUUCUAUGUUCUCUUUUGUAUUCCUAUCUAUAUUUUUCACCAACAUUUUAGUCUUUGUUUUAUUUAGUUUGAAACCUGAUACUUUGCCGAAUUCAUCUAAUUGUUUCAAAACUUUGCCGACGCUUGUUUGUGGUUCUUCUAAUGAUAACAUUAGGUCAUCCGCAUAAGCUUUUAGCUUAUAUUCCUUAGUACCAACUUUAAUUCCUCGUAUUUCUGGCAUAGAUCUCACCUUGUUUGCUAUGACCUCUAAUACCAUUAUGAAUAGUAAAGGAGAGAGAGGGCAACCUUGUCUUGUUCCCUUCAUAAUGUUGAAUGUGUCUGUCAAAUUGUUGUUAACAAUUAAUUUAGGUGUUUGGUUAGAGUAGAUCGCCUUUAUACCUUUUAUGAAGUUGCCCUCUAUCCCCAUUUCCUCCAUAGACUUUAACAAAAACUGCCAUGAGACGUUAUCAAAUGCUUUUUCAGCGUCUAUAAACAAUAAAGCCGCCAGUAUUUCAUUUUUUACUUCCAAAUAUUCAGUAAUAUUUAUAAUAUGUCUGACGCUAUCCUUUAACUUUCUGUUUGGAAGGAAUCCAGCUUGAUCUUUAUGUAUGACAUCUUUUAAACAAUUUUUAAGUCUGUCUGCCAAUAUUCCCACAAAAAGUUUAUAAUCGUUAUUCAGCAAUGAGAUAGGUCUGUAAUUUUUUAUGUUCAAACUGUCCGUAUCUGGCUUGGGAAUCAAGGUUAUAUGUGCAUCUUUCCAUGAAUCUGGUAGGUUCCUUCCUUGCAAAAUACUAUUCAUCACCUCACAUAGCACCGGGGUUAAUUGAUCCCCCAGUGUUUUGUAAUAUUUGGCCGACAAACCAUCUGGGCCUGGGGCUUUGCCCAACCUCAUCUUGUUUAUUGCCUCCUUUACUUCUUCUUUCGUAAUUGGUUUGUUCAGCUGUAUUUUUCCUUCUUCACCUUUGUGUUUUCCCUUGUAAUCUUCAAAGUACUUUCUUAUUUUGUUUGGGUCUUCAUUUUCUCUUUUAUAUAGGUUUUCAUAGUAUUUGUGAAAUGUUCUCAUAAUUUCCUCCGGAUUUUCUAUUUGUCGUCCUUCUAUUUUAAUCUUGUUUAUUACACUUUGUUUUUGUCUUUUCUGCAACUGCCAUGCCAGGAGUUUCCCUGUUUUGUUAGCUGAUUCAAAAAAUCUCUGCUUCAUGGAUUUUAUUCUCCAUUCUACCUCUUGAUUAACCAGUAUUGAAUAUUGGGUUUGUAACAUCUUAAUAGCUUGUUUAUUUUGUUCAUCUUUAGGUUUUAUCAUUAAAUUUUUCUCAUAUAUUCUUAUAUGGUUUAAAAUGUCUUCUUUCUUUUUCUCUCUUAAUUUUCUUCUGAGGCUAUUUUGCUGUAUUAGGUGACCCCUCAUGACAGCUUUGCUUGCGUCCCAAACUAUGUCAAUGUUGGUAUCUUUAUUUAAAUUCCAUUUAAGGUAGUCUUCUAGGGUGGCCUUUGCCUUUUCAGUUAUCUCGGGGAUCUCAAAAAGGUAGUCAUUCAUCCUCCAUCUGUAAGCGCUCUGUACUUUACCUUUUAUUUCUAAGCCAAUGGGGUUGUGAUCCAACAAAGUUCUUGGCUGUAUUUCACAUUUUGAAAUUCUUGGUAUUAUACAUCUUGAGACCCAAAUCUGAUCUAUCCUUGCCCAGCUCUGAUGUGGUUCCGAAAAAAAAGGAGAAUUGUUUUGUACCCGGAUUUUUUUCUCUCCACACAUCUAUUAAGUCCAUAUUCUCCACCAGAUUAAACCACGUUUUUGGCAGUUUCCCUUGGUUACCUUUCUUUUUCUUUGAUGACCUAUCCAAUUCAGUUUUAACCACUCCAUUAAAGUCACCUAGUACAAUUGUUUUUUGACCUUCUAAUUCAAUCAGGCUCUCUUCUAAUUUUCUGUAUGUAGGAGUGCAAAUAUCCAGAGAUGUAGUGAUCAGGUGGGAUUGCUAUGAAGAAUUAUAACAGAUAUAGAGUAAGCCAUUUGUGUCAGCAAUGAAAGCAUUGCGUUGACUGGGUUUAAACUAUUUUGAUAUGAUUUUUGAUCAAUCUACACCUCUGCAUCUCUGGCCCUUUUGACCCUACUGCCCAUUUCUCUCUCCUCACGCCACGUACACAGCAGUACACAGCAGUUGCUUCGCCAGGCAGGCUUCCUGGGCCAUAAAGAUAGUAGGCAAGUUACUUUGAUGUAGUUUUCUUAUAUAUAAUCUUAAAAUGUUAAUCUUGGAGCCAGGAAACAGAUCUCACAUGAAGGUGGUAGUGAUCUGGUCUUUCUGGCCAUCCUUCUUAUCAUGUUUAUUUCUCACCUCUGGGGUUGCCAGAUGCACCCCUUUGUAGUUCUCAACUUAUUUACCACCCCUUUGUAAUUCUCAACAUAUUUACUCCAAAAUAUAUGCAUGCUAAUUAGUGUUGUAGUGUAACUUUUUCCCCACGUGGGGUUUGAUGAAAUGCUCAGAGGAAAUAUGAUUGGUUCUUACGAGCACUGUGUAAAAGAUUCUUUUGCUAAUAAAAUGGCCUGGUGAGGGGUGUGGUUUACGCACUUUUCUCCGAGAGCCUUUCUGGUCAAAGCCUCAUGUCUUGUUAUUAAUCAGGGUCCAGUCCUUCCUCUGCAAACGCAACACUGUAGAAUUCCGCCUUAUUAGUAUUAGGGGCAUAGAUAGAGACCACAUUCAAUUUUUCACCUUGAACAUUAAUUUGUACUCCCAAUAUCCUCCCCUCCUCAUCUUUACAGAUUAAUUUAGGUUCCCAUUUUUCUUUAACAUAUAGAACAACCCCUCUUUUUUUACGCACAUUGGAGCUGAUAAACUCCUCCUCUAGUCUUUUAUUUUUCAAAAUAUGCUUAUGUUUUUUAGCAAUAUGAGUCUCUUGCAAGCAAAUUACACCCAGAUAUUUUUUCUUCAAUACAUUUUUGAUUUUAUUCCUCUUAGAUUUUUCAUUCAAACCAUUCACAUUCCAUGUUAUUAAUUUUAAUGCCAUUAUUAUCUAAUCAGAGUUAACUAACAACAGAAGCUAAAACUAAGAAGAACUAAAAUUAGAUUCGAGUAGUCUUGUCUUCUAAAUCCUCCUCCUCCUCUUCUUCUUCUCCCUCUACUUCUUCUUCUAUUUCCUCCUCAUCCUCUUCUUUUCCUCUCCUUCUUUCUCCUCCUCUCUGUCCCUCCUCCUCUUCCUCUCCUCUACUUCUGGCUCCCUUUCCCCAAUUUUAUCCUCCAUCCUUCCGAGGUCCUUCUCAUAUCUCCUUGAGAAUUUCCGGACCACAGGUAUGAAGUUUACGGCAUGCAAUGCCUUGAGAGAGAAUAUUAUGAAAAUGAUAUACAGGUGGUACAUGACCCCAGUCAAGCUUGCAAAAAUUUAUCAUUUGCCCGAUAAUAAAUGUUGGAAAUGCAAAGAAACUGAAGGUCCAUUCUUUCACCUUUGGUGGACGUGCCCAAGGAUUAAGGCUUUCUGGGAGAUGAUCUAUAACGAAAUGAAAAAGGUAUUUAAAUAUACCUUCCUGAAGAAACCAGAGGCCUUUCUCCUGGGCAUUGUCGGCCAAUUGGUGCCAAAGAAGGACAGAACUUUUUUUAUGUAUGCCACAACAGCAGCAAGAAUACUCAUUGCAAAGUAUUGGAAGACACAAGAUCUACCCACUCUGGAAGAAUGGCAGAUGAAGAUGACGGAAUAUAUGGAACUGGCGGAAAUGACUGGCAGAAUCCGAGACCAGGCAGAAGAGUCGGUGGAAGAAGAUUGGAAGAAAUUUAAAGCCUAUUUAGAGAAAUAUUGUAAAAUUAAUGAAUGUUAGAAUGAUGUUGGAUAGAAAGUAAGUGUUUUCUAGCUGUAAUACUAUAAGGGAAUAUGAAAAAUGGAUUACUAACAGAUAAAAAUUUAACGUUACAAUAUUUUAAGAUUUAAGACUUGGAUAAACAAAGAGGGGAAGGAUUUGCUGAACCAACAAACUGAACUGGAAUACAAAAAAAGGGAGGCGUGAGGAGGUCCGGGAAAUAAGCUAAUGAAAAAUAAGUAAUGGAAAGAUUGAGUUGUUUUUAACUAUUUUUAUUUUCUAUUUUUCUUUUUGUAAUAUUUUGAAAAUUUCAAUAAAUAUCUUAUUAAAAAAAAAGAGAGAGAAUUUCCUCACUUCUUGUAUAUCUGUCAACCUAAAUCUUUUAUUUUUGUAAUAGAAGGAGAUCCCUUCUGGGAACUCCCAUCUAUACUGUAUACCAUUUCUUUUCAGGACAGUCACCAACUAUUUAUAACCCUCUCUUUUUCGUAAGAAUCUGGUAAGUAUUUCUUGAAAUAUGAUGAUCGGUCUAUCAUCAAUUAACAACUUUUUUGAUAGCUUGUCUUCAGUAUCGCAUUCCUCAUUUCUAAGGAGUUGAAUAUCACUAAAAAGUCUCCCGGUAGCCUCUUUGUUUUAGCUUGUAGCGACGUUACUUUUAUUCUGAACACAUUUUCCACAGUGAAUUCAACCUCUUCUUCUUUCAUAUUAAGCCAUUUAGCUAGCUCUUUAAUCAUUUUAACCUUUAUGUUUUCAUUUGCCUCCUCGCCUACACCUCUGAAUUUCAGGUUUAAUUGCCUCUGUCUCAUUUCAAGCAUGGCUAGACUGUCCCAAACUUGGUCUUGACUUUUGCUCAAGUCUCCUAAUUCCUCUUUGAUUUUGUCUGUCUCUCUUUUGUUCUCUUUCACUUCUUUUUGGAUUCUCUUGGUUGAUUCUUCUAUUGUUUUUGAUCUAACUGUCAGGUCCUUUAUUUUAGUUGAAAGUUCACCAACUGCCCCCUCUAUUUUCUUAUCUAACCUUUCCUGCACCUCUUCUAACUUCUUUUCUAAGAGCUGAUCACUUUGCUUGAAUUCUUUAAUCUUCCACCACAGAGCGUCCAGAUCUUUAAUUUCUUCUUGUCAUGAUGCUCUCCUAUCUGCUGGCGUUCCACCUACUUUCUUACCAUUUUUCCCUGACAUUUUGAACCCACUUUCUUAGAAUAUUACAGUAUUUUCAAGCAAUUACCAAAAUUCCUGGUGCAGUAUAUAAUUUUGCCCCUAGGGGGCCCACAAUCCACCUCUGAUAAUUCCUAAAUACAGAGAGCUUCAAUGCUAUUUCUCUAGUUUCCAACCAACAAGCUGUCUCUUACCAAAUAUACCAUUAAGUGUCCCUUUUCAGCCACUUUCUCCAAUUCUCUGUAUUUUAUCUUACACCCCUUCCUCCUUAAGCUCCUUAUUUAUAUUAUGUUCUCAUAUUGGCCAGUUAUUAAUUUUAAAUGUAAUAUAAUCAGUAAAACAUUUUUGUUAACAUAUAUCCAAAAACCAUAUAAUCAAUUGUUCCAAAGAGACCAGUACCUUGGUUUCAGAAUGUUCAGUCCAAAUUAGUACAAUCAAUCCAGUUAAUACACAUUAAUACUCCUUCUGUCCAAAUAAUACAUUCAGUCUAAUUAGUACAAAUGCAUCUUCCAAUUCUCAGUUUCCAAUUUUCAGCCACUUGCUGGCCUAAUCCCAAUUGGUUUACGCACUCUUCAGCCAUUUAUAGGCCUAAUCCAGAUUGAAACCGAUCAAUUUAAAAGUUUUUAUUAGUCCAAAGAUAAAUAUUUGUAAUCCAAGAGGUCUCUUUUAUUCUGUCUUCUUAUUAAAGAGUUAUGAUAUUGUAAUCCAGGGUUCAGAGAAAAGGCAACAGCAAAGCAUAAGAGAAAAACAAGAAAAUGGCUCUCCACUUCUAAGUCACUGUAAUUCCAGAAGUUCACCAGUAGAGCACGUGAAUUUGCUGUAGUAUAAGUCCAAUAUUCAAUUUGUUAUAAAGAGAAAAAAGAAAGGAGUCUAAAAAGAGGAAAAAUUUAAACCCACCUCCCACACUGUUUCGAUUUCAUUAUCUCGGAAAAGCCUGAAGAAGCAAGAGUGUGUACAGAAUUAACAAACUUAAAAUGGGAGGACUAUCCAUAUAUUUGCAGCCAUUAAUAGUCUAAUAAUCCCAUAGUAAUUUAGAAAUUCUUUAAACACAAAAACGUUGUUGUUAUUUUUAAAGCUCAGUUCGUGAAUCUUUGCUGUUGUUGCUUCUCAGGUCUUAUUUCUAUUGCCUUUUUGCAGCGAGGCUUCCUUUAGAAGGCUUAAACUUAAAUCUUUAAACCUCACCCCUUCCAGAGAAAGGGUAGCCUCCGUAGUUCUUUCUUCCAACGAAAGGGCAGCCUCCGUAAUCCUUUCUUUCACAGCCAAAAAGAUAAAACAAAGUUUCAACUCCGCUCUUCUUGCAACUCUUUGUCCAAAUUAGCCCUCAGUCUUUAAACAAAGUUGCAAAAAGCUUUCCUUUCGUACUCACUCAGCAGGAUCGUUAGCGUCUUUGCUUUCCCUUGCUACUUCCUUUCUCUGCGCCAUCUUUUUCGCCGAUACAGGAAAGGACUCUGUAAGUCAAUCCUUUAACAUCCAAAGAUCUCUUGAUGUUUUUUCUCAAGUAUUAAGAUUAACGCUCUCUCCGAACACCAAGAAACCUGUUUGUUAAUUUUGGAGAUUUACCGCUUUGCAGUAGAGGCAUAGAGACAUUGCAGGGUGGUGGUGCUUCCCGUCACGUCCACAGCUCCGUCCGCUCUCAAGCUUCUUAACCUGAAACUGUUCUUAACCUGAAGCACCACUUUAGCUAAUGGGGCCUCCUGCUGCUGCAGUGCGAUUUCUGUUCUCAUCCUGAAGCAAAGUUCUUAACCCAAGGUAUUAUUUCUGGGUCAGUGGAGUCUGUAACCUGAAGCAUAUGUAACCUGAAGCAUAUGUAACCCGUGGUACCACUGUACUAGGUACUGGGAUGCUUUGUUGUGCUUUCAGUGGCACUACACAAGUUGUGAUGGCCCAAUGCAGAUGGCUUCAAAAGAGGAUUAGACAAAUUCAUGGAGAACAAGACUAUCAAUGGCUAAAAACUGUUAAAGUUAACACCUCCGGGCGUUAAAUUGGCCUGAUUCUGCCAAUUUCAGGCAAGCUUGAUUGUCCUCCCACACUGUUAUGGGUAGGCAACAAUCGCCAUAUAUCUCCUGGACCAGACGUGUAGAAUUCCAGCUCCCUACAUACUCCUGAAAGAGUGCUGAAUUCUGCCUCAGUCGAUGACAGAGCAAUGAGGCUUUGUUUCUUGGACCUCCAGCCAAUUACAGAAUCUCUGUACAUUACAACCAUUCCGGAGAUAGACUUCCUGUCUGAAUUGUUGGCCCAAUCUGCAUCAGCCCAGCACUGAAGCUGUGCAUCUCCCUGAGCUGACAGUAUGAGGCUAUACUCCUUGGUCUCUUGCAGAUACCUAAGGACCCUUUUUACGCCAUUUCAGGCCAUCACACUGGGUUUUGCAGCCUCUCUGCUCAGGAGAUUAACAGCAAAGGCUAUAUCAGGUCUGCUCCAUUGUGAUAUAUAUAGCAGACUCCCCAGAGCAGAUUGAAACACCUCCCAGUUUUCAAACUCUGGCUUUACCUCAGACUGGCUGUCUUUCAGAAAACACGUUUUCAUUGGUGUUCUGACACCUUUGCAGUCUGCCAUCUUAAACUUUUGCAGUAAUUGCUCUAUCUUUGCUCUCUGGUUUAGCAAAAAACUGCCAUCUUGGUCUCUGUGAAUCUGCACCCCAAGGUAUAAGCUCACAUGACCCAACUCCAUGAGUUUGAAGUGCUGCUUCAGCUUCCUUGCAAACUCCUGCACCUGUUUACCUGUCCUGGCAACAAAUACAAUGUCAUCAAUAAAGAUAUGAACCAGUUCCUGCUGCUGGCCUGUCCCCUUCAGGUACAGGCAGCUGUCUGCCAGAGUCUUCUGGAACCCUAGCGUCCCCAGAGCUUCGUUGAGACAUAAAUUCCAAUUUCUGGCUGAUUGCUUCAAGCCAUAAAUGGAACGGUGCAGUCUCCAUACCAGACCUGGUUUGUCGCCCUCAAACCCUAGUGGAGGUAACAUGUAGAUCUCCUCCUGCAGUGGUGAGUUUAAAUAGGCAAAAUCAGUGUCAAAAUGAGCGACCUCUGAACCUCUUUGUGCUGCUAUCGCCAAAAGCAAUAGCAUGGUCUCAUUUCUGACCGUGGGCACGUACACCUGGGAAUAGUGCAGCCCCAGUCGCUGGCUGAAACCUCUUGCCACCAAUCUGGCUUUAUAUUGUGGCUCUCCACCUGCAGUGGGUUUCAACCUGCAGACCCAGCAACAACUCACUGCCUGCUGGUCAGCUGACAGUUGUGAGCGUGAAGACUCCUAGAGACUUCAUGGCACUAAGCUCCUUUUCCAUGGCUUGCUGCCACUUGCUGGAUUCUGCCUGAGGUAACUUCUGAACCUCACCAAAGCUUUCUAGUUCGCACUAAGCAAAACCAGCCCACACAUUCGUGACUGUGAAAUGGUCAGGUGGUUUACCCUUCGUGGUCCUCUUAGACCGUCUUGGCCCCAUGCCGGACUCCCCCUCUGACCCAGACGUGCUAGACUCUGCCUGUGAGUCCCUGGCAUCUGGUGAACCACCAAGCGACUUGCUGUGCCUGCGUUGCAAUUCUGGACUGCGCUUGUCUGUGGGACACAAGGGAGACCUUCCGUGCCUGUGCCAACUAGGCCAAGCCUGCGGAGAUGAGGGUACACUCCUGGGUUCUGACUUCACCUCUCUCUUUGGAAUUGCCCCCUCUGGCACUGCACCCUGGUGGUGGUCAGCAGUUUGGCCAGGACCGCCAGCAGGUGCAUUGCCAUCAGCUCUGCCAGGAGGUGCAAUUGGUUGAUCCCUUGAACCAAGACCUCUAAACAAAUCUGUGAGCACUUCGGGGUUUCCGUGAAUCCUGUCCCAACCAGCCUGCUCACAAAAUUCAGCGUUCCUGCUGAUUACCACACGUGAGUGAUCUCCACUUGGAUACGUAAACCUCCAGGCUUUUGACCCUGGCUCGUAUCCACAGAAAAUCAUUUUGCGCGAUCUAGGGCCACCUUUCCUGCACUGCUGUUUAGAAAUCAAUACCCAAGCCUCCGCCCCAAAGGUACGAAAAUAGUGCACCUUGGGUUUCCUUCCAUGGAGCAUGAAAUAGGGUGUGUUCCCAACCACAGAAUUUUACGUCCUGUUCAAUGUGAACGACGCUGCCUUCACAGCCUCGGCCCAAUAGCAUUUGGGCAGCCCUGAAUCAAACAGAAAAGCCUCCAUGGCCUCUUGCAGGGUUCGAUUCCUGCGCUCCGCAACUCCAUUUUGUUGCGGGGAAUAAGGCGCUGUCUUCCUGUGCUUAAUACCCUUCACAUGGAAGAAGUUUUGCAGACUAGAGGCUAUAAACUCAGACCCUCUGUCUGUCUGAAACGCUUUGACACGGGUGUCAAACUCCAAUUCUACUGCCACCACCCACUCUUUGAUCUCCUUGGCUGCUUGCCCUUUAUCUCGGAGUGUGAUAAUCCAUCCCACCCUCGAGAAAUCAUCGGUGAGACACAGAAUGUAUCUGGAAUUACACAAGCUAGCCACUGACAUCGGACCACAAAGAUCCGCAUGCACAAGCUCAAAGGCUUUCUUGGUCACCUCAGGUAAUUGGUGGUGUGCACUUUGGCUUUUUUACAAGCUCUACAUUCAAGAAACUUAGAGCACUCCUUCAUUUUACAGCCAUCAGCACACUCUACCUGUUUGUGCACAUAUCGCCAGUUCACGUGCGUAAAUCUUCUAUGCCAUAAGUGCAUACACUGGUCAUGAGUGGGGACGUUGGCACACUUUGCCUGUGCUUCCUCAGAAGUGUCAUCACCUGUUUCUAGUAUGUACAGCCCAUCGUGGCCUCGUACUUGUACUAACUGCUCCCCAUCUUUGGAAAUGGUGCAUACCUGGUUCCCAAACUGCACCUGAAAACCAGCAUUGUCAAGAGCAUAAACAGAACGUAACCCACAGUUCAUACCAUCAAGUACAUACACAUCAAUAUCAGCUUUCAAACAGGGCAUAAAAACAACACCAGCUUUUGAAAUAGCUCUCUUGGUUGUAUCAGCCAAUGUGAUUGUUGUCCCAUCUGGAAUUUGCCAGCAGUCUCGCAACUGGCCACCAGGUGGAGCUAGAUGCCUACUGGCCCCACUGUCAAUGAUCCAACGCUGUUUGCCGUUGGCUGCAGCCUGUCCAACAAAAGCAUACGUAGCAGCCUUCUGAUGUGUUGCUGGCUCUCCUCCUCUGCUCCCUCUCGCUGGGCCUCUCCUCCCAUGACGUGGUCUGCGUUUGAUCUCUCGGUUGCUAUUGGAGAGGAUCCUGGGGCAAUUUCUCUGCAGAUGUUGGUCUGAGUUGCAAACGUAGCACCUCCUCGCUUCUAAAACUUGCACAGAGCUCCCAGCAUCUUCUGCACUCCCACUCCUGGGCACAAAGCAACCCCCCUUCGCAGCCCCCCUCCUUUCUCUCUCAGCUUUUUAUCCUGCUCAUCUUGCAGCCAACCUGACACGUAUUCCAGGUCAAGCUCCUGAGCUGGAAUAGCUUCCAUCGUGAGAGAAAGAGUCUGAUAGCCAGAUUCUAAAGAGCUCAGCAAUAUAUAGACUUUUUGCUGCUCAGUAAAGGGAAUCUGGACAAACCUAGACAGCAUCUUAAAAAGUAGAGACAUCACCUUGCCAACAAAGGUCCGUAUAGUAAAAGCUAUGGUUUUCCCAGUAGUGAUGUAUGGAAGUGAGAGCUGGACCAUAAAGAAGGCUGAUCACCGAAGAAUUGAUGAUUUUGAAUUACGGUGCUGGAGGAGACUCUUGAGUGUCCCAUGGACUGCAAGAAGAUCAAACCUCUCCAUUCUUAGGGAAAUCAGUCCUGACUGCUCACUGGAAGGACGGAUCAUGAAGCUGAGGCUCCAAUACUUUGGCCACCUCAUGAGAAGAGAAGACUCCCUGGAAAAGACCCUGAUGUUGGGAAAGAUGGAGGGCACAAGGAGAAGGGGACGACAGAGGAUGAGGUGGUUGGAUAGUGUUCUCGAAGCUACCAGCAUGAGUUUGACCAAACUGCGGGAGGCAGUGGAAGACAGGAGUGCCUGGCAUGCUCUGGUCCAUGGGGUCACGAAGAGUCAGACACGACUAAACGACUAAACAACAACGGGAAUCUGUAGUUGCCUCGAACGGUUGAACAACGCCAGCAUCUGUGAAAUGUCUCUUUGACGCAGCCUCCGGGUUGCAAAUGUAAAUCAAAUAUCUGUCUGGUGACAUGAAUCCGGGCCCCAGCCAUGUCCUGCUGAUGCAUGCGUUGCAGGGCACCCCAGACCUUGUGAGCGUAGGUGGCGUGGUCAAUGUGAACCAUCUGGGCAUCGUCUAUGGCCAUGACCAAGUGAGCAACGGCUCUCUGCUCUCUCCUCAGUUCUUCGGCUGCAGGAGCUACAACUCCAGCUGCGGCCCCAUCCUGGGCCUGCAUAGGUGGGUUCUGCGUGCAAGUCCAAAGGCCUUUAGCAGUUAACAAAACCUGCAUUUUCUUGGACCAGUCUGCCCAGUUCUUCCCCAUCAGCUUUGGGAAAGCCGCCACAAAAUUUUCCUGCACCUCUGCCAUUUCCCCCCACUGGGGCUUGUGUUACUCACACAGCUGCCGCUCUCUCCAGCUCCCAGCUCUCAGCUCUCAGCUCUCAGCUCUCAGCUCCCAGCUCCGGAAAAAUGGCUUGCUUCACCAGCGAGUUUCUACUGUUCUGUGCCUUCAAGCAUGGUACGAAAACAGGCCUCCAGCUGGACUUUCUAGCUGCCGGCUGCAGCAGAGACACAGACCUCCAGUCCUGGCCAUCAAUCACCUCAGGACAUUCAGCCAUUAGCGCGUUACUGCCGACCAUAACCUGUUAAAGUUUGUUGGGUCGUAUAUCUUUUGACCCACUGAGUCUGCUGCAACGGCCCUGCAAUAAAUUUGAUUUAUUGCCACUCCGACAAACUUCCAACGGCACCCACACGCUUCCACUCCGCGCGCUGCCACUCUCCUCAGUUGCCAGAUAAUAGCAGAGUUCACACGCAUAUCUAACACUAUUUAGUAGCAUUCAAAACAGAAAAGAAAACCUACAGAAUCUAGCUGCAUGUUCACAGCUUUCUGCCUCUUAACAAAAAUGAAACGACCUUGCUAACGUUUUCAGACAGACUGCUCUCCAGAGAGAGCUCAGCCCCCACAGAGAGAGCUCAGCCCCCACAGAGCACAGAUCAAAGGAAAAAAGCACGGAUCAUGUGGUCAGUGCACCCAGUUGAUAAGAACGCUCCUGGAGUGUUAACUCCUGACAGUCCAGAACCACAACAAAAACCACACUGACUAUAUUCUACCUCCAUUGAUGGAGCAAUACCAGUUGCUGAGUAUCAGUUGCUGAGAAUCACAAGUGGGGAGAGUGCUGUUGUGCUCAGGUCCUGCCUUUGGGCUUCUUAUUGGAUCGUCUGGUUGGCCACUGUGCAAACUGGUGAGAAUCUGGCUCCUUCAAGAGGGAGACCGGUAUACAAAUUCAAUAUAAGAAAAGGAAGUAAACAGCAUUUUGGACUAACUGGGCUUUCCUUGUUCUUCAUGUUCAUGUUGCUUUUUCUGUGAUAAAACACACAAACAUGCACGCACGCACGUGCACACACACACAAUUUGCAAAACACAAUAGUACAUUCAAAGCAACAUAAAAAAUAAGUCAAUAAAGCAGCAGUACAUUAAACAAAGCUAAAAAGAGCAACAAUAAAAGCCAUGCCAAGGGACACAAGACCCUUUACGAGUGCUCCAAGACUCCAGCAGUUAAAAACAAUUUGCAGAGGGGCAAUUAAAAACCUGGGUGGAAUAGAAAUAUCUUCACUUGGAGGCAUAAAAAGGAAAAAUUAACUAAAAUAUUGAAUGGGAGUGUGGUAGGGGGGACUUGAUGACUGGCCUUGAGCAAGUCAGUCUGCCUCUAUCUCGUUAUGUCAUUCUUGUUGCUUGUUUCUCAGUUUCUCAGUUCCUUUUUCAGAUUAAUGAACACUUUUUAAAUAAAAAAUCUGAAGGUGGGAUCAGGGCCGGCCCACCCACAAGACUGAGGCAGCUGUCUCAGGCAGCAGAAUCCCAUGGGGUGGCACCUCCAUCGGUGCCCCACCCAGCCUUUCCGCCACCACUGGAGAAGUGAGGAGAAGUGACAGCAGUAGCUUCUGGCAUGAUCUCACAGUGCUCUGCAAGAGCUCACAAGAGUUCCCUGAGAUCUCACCUGAAGCUGCAAGUUCUCCUCACUUCUCCGACAGCAAGGUGGUGUGGGGACUCCAUCUUCCCAUUCCGCCUUGGAUGGCCAAACAGGAUGGGCUGCCCCAGGGAGGGAGGGAAGGAGGGAGGGGGGUAGGACCACAGGGACACAGGAAGCCACCUUAUAACUGGUCUAUCUAGCUUGUUUAUGCUUACUGGCAGUGGCUCUCAAGUGUCAAGCCCUACCCAGAGGUUGAACUUGGGAGCUUCUGCAUGCAAGGCUGUUGCUCUGCCACUAACCUAAACAUAGCUGUCAGCUUUUCCCUUUUCUUGCGAGGAAUCCUAUUUGGAAUAAGGGAAUUUCCCUUUAAAAAAGGGAAACGUUGACAGCUAUGGACCUACAGCCCCGCUCCUAGAUGCCAUAGUCCUUCCCUAACUGAAUAAAGCCUACAGUUAUAACACAAAGUAAAUGCAGUUAUAAUAAGUCAUGUAGCUGCCUUGGGAACAUAGGAUGCUAUGUGGAAUUACUGCCUGGGUCCGGCACGUUUCCGCUGCCGCAUAAAUCUUCCAGGCAGCAGCAGAGCAGGCAGCGAGUGCUUGACGUGUGAGAGAAAGGAAAAGUCCAUACACUGUUUCUUUCUAGGCUAACAGCUCUUUAUUUACAUCAGUAGGUAAAACAACAAACAACUCCAUCGGAGUUCGGACACAUGGCAUUUGCCUCUCUCGCUUCCCGGUCAAAAGUGAAAGUGUCUCACACAGACAAAGAAACUUCAGCUUCCGUUUGCGUAGGAAGCUCCUCCCCAGAUGUAGGACAUACAGAAGGUUAACCCUAUAGUAUGCUACAUCAUACUGAGUCACUAGUCCAUCUAGCUCAGAAUCGUCCACAACAAUGGACAGCAGCUCUCCAGGGUCUUGGACUAAGCUCCUUCCCAGCCCUACCAGGAGAUGUUGGAGACUGGGCCCCUGCCACCUGCCUUAUGCAUGCAAAACAGAUGCUCAACCACUGAGUUAUAGAAUCAUAGAAUCAUAGAGUUGGAAGGGACCACAAUGGUCAUCUAGACCAGUGUUCCCCAACCUUGGGCCUCCAGCUGUUUUCGGACUACAACUCCCAUCAUCCCUCGCUAGCAAGACCAGUGGUCAAGGAUGAUGGGAAUUGUAGUCCAAAAACAGCUGGAGGCCCAAGGUUGGGGAACACUGAUCUAGACCAACCUCCUGUGAAGCAGGAAUCUUCUGCCCAACUCUCGACUGAGAUUAAGAGUCUCAUGUUCUACCAACUGAGCUAUCCCUGUACAGCCUCUGGGCCACGCCAUGGGCACUAAAGUGCAGCAAUUGUUUCUCUGUUAUCCAUCUAUGAAAUGCAAACACUUGUAACAUACCUCUGGCAGCAGUUGUGAGGCUGUUCAAAAUAGAACUUUGUAGAUUCAGGGGUUUGUAGGUUCUCCAACUCUAAACUGCUGCCAAAUAUCCCUAUCACCAGAAGUAAAGUGGAUUUGGGUGCAAGUAGAUAAUUUCUUCUUCUCAAAUUCUGAAUUUGUAUCAGGUCAUGGAAUCUGUGCUUUGAAUGUUGAACAGACAGAGUUAGAUUUGAAAAUGAUGCACACGUGCGCUUGCAUACACACACAGCAGCUACAUCUUAGUGUUAAUUCAUAGUGAUGCCAGCUGGCUUGAGCGUAUCAAAAACUCAUGCUGAGAACUCCUUAACUAAUAAUUACUCCAUUGAAGGACUGAGAAAUCUGUUAUUAACCUGAGGGCAAAGAGCAUUUUGUUAAUCAGCCACAGUUCACACACACACACACACACACACACACACACACACAUCACAUUUAAGAACACUUGAAAUGAUUGCUGGACUUAAUCGUAGGGAUGAUGGAAAAGAGCCAGACUUGAUAUUUCUCUACUGGAAUAAAAUCAGCCAGCUCCAAUGUGGGGGUUGUAGGUCAUAACACAUCUAAGCAGUACUUUGCAGUGACUGAACUUUCUCUGCCAGAGUGAUCCAUUCAUUUUGUCGCUUUCCAUCCAGAGGAGGGGAACUCAGACUUGGGGACCAAAUGUGACCCUCUAGACCUGUCUAACUGGCCCUUAGGACUGUCCCCAGGCCAGAAACCCCCUUCUUAGGCCACACUUCUUGCUAGUCCUGCUUCACAUCCCAAUGGCUUUUGCCUGGCUGGGCUGUGUCCUUGAACUCCAGUAAAGCAUCUUCCUUUCCUUGAUGGAGGACAGAGAGGAGUGUGUAGAUGUGUGUAGAAACUAGCCUACGGCACCAUGGUAAAAUUUACAUUCAUUGCUCCACCAACUUUCUCCUUUGGCUUUGCCCACCAGCGACAUGUGAUUCAAAAUGGUGUCCAAUGAUUUCUUUACAAGGUAGCACAUGACUUGUAGUUCAUUGGUCAGUUCUUACCCAUAGAGUCCAUUGAGUCACCAGUAACCCAUGUUCUUAAAGGACUGGCAUGGGAAAUCUCCAGCCUGUGAGUCAAAAUUGACACACCAUGGGUUCAGAUUUGGACCAACAGGUUGUUUUCACCCAAAACACAUCCAUCUAACCAACACCUGAUGUUAUAUGCACUGAGAAGACCCUUCAAGGGAAAACAAACUUUGGUUCUAUGGAUGGUAAAGCUGCAAUCUGAUGAACUGGGUGAGCAAGUGAAGUCCCCAUAUGGAGACUCUUUUCUUUCUUUUUAAAAAUAAUUUUAAUUAAUUUUCCAUUUAACAAUCCAAUCAUAUCACAUUAAUUACUCCGAAUUAUAUCAAUACAUAUCAUAAAAAUCCAAAUAUUUUGCCGAAUUUUAAAUUUUUGUUGGGGGUACCAAUGCUUCGAGUUCAGAAAGGGUCCAAUCAUCUAAUAUUUCUACUGCUUUGAUAUUUCACAAGUCCCAUCUUCCACUCUUCUUGUUGUUAUCAUUUUUCUUCUUAAUAACCUCUGAGUUGUUUCCACAAGUGAGAUGAAGCAAGCAAUAUUAUGUUUCUGUGUGGGCUUACACGUUGAUCCAAAAGUCUUAUUCACGCGGCAGGCGCCUGUCAGGGAACUGACAUCGGAGCGAGAGGCGGAGGGAAGGCUCUCAAAUGAUGCUGGAAAAGGGCCCAGCAGGGAGAGAGGCAGCUCAGCAGAUGGGGAAGCAAUUCAGCGCAACACCAGGAAUAAAGAGAGGCAGAUGGGGGAAUCGGCGAGAGGGCUCCCAGACUCUUCACCGGACACCAGCGGGGAGAGCACGGGUCCUCCGCUACCCACGCCCUCCCUGCGCAGAAGACUUCCGCGCAGAGAGAGUAGGAGGAGACUGGGUGUCAAACAACUUUUAUCUUGGAAAAGGUUUAAGAAACGCCCACUGACGGAUUCUGCUAGCGACUGAGGCAGCCACGAAGUGAAGGGCUGUCCAGAAUGAAAGGUUUAACAAGGCAACAAAGCCAGGAGAGGCGGCAACUUACGCACGAGCAACCCAUACUCAUUACAGCAAUCCGUCAGUCCCUGACGUCGCUUGUGCACAGUGACAGGCAGGCAGCAUCAUGAGCAAAACUGGAGAAGCUGGCGCCACGGAGGGAGCAGCUGGAGUGCAAAAUCUGGUGGAGAGGAACCGAGAUUUGGAGCAGCAUGUGGCUCUGCUGAUGGCGCGGCUGGACGAAAGGCGGUCUCAGGAUGCUCAGGUCAGACCCACCCCCGUAGCAAGGAAGGUACCGGGACUGGUACACAAGUUUGGAGGGAAACCCCAGGACUACAGUGCGUUCCGAACGGAAAUAGAGUACGCGUUGGAACUGCAACAGAAUGAUUUUGCAGACGAUGGGGAGAGGGUUGCCUAUAUUGUCGGACAUCUGCAGGAUGGGGCCAGAGAAUGGAUCAGGCCCCUAAUGGCAACGCAGAAUGCCGCCUUGAAAGACCUGAGGAAAAUCUUCCAGGCAAUGGAUGCGAUGUAUUCCAGUGAUGUACAGCAAAGUGUGACUCGGCAGGAACUGAUGGGGUGCAAACAGGGGAACCAGUCAGUUAGAGACUACUGGUCACGCUUUGCCAUGUUAGUCCACCGGCUCGGGUGGGAUUUGGACUCUGAACCCAUUCAAAUGCUGUUCGAGGAGGGGUUGUCCCCAACGGUGAAGGACGAGCUUUCCCGCGCACCCCGCCCGCAGUCGAUGGAUCAGCUGACCAAGGCUGUGCUUGCGAUUGGUGUAAGGCAGGAAGUGCGGGCCCAGGAGAAGCGGGAAGAGAGAGAGCAACGUUACCAUGACUACCGCAUUCCUGAAAUACCAAGGCAGCCUUCCCCGCCGGCGGAGCCAAUGGAAAUAGAUGGGGCGUGUGCGCGGGAGAUUUCAAACUCCAGUGAAGGUCGCAAGAGGGAGGGAAAGGAUGGGAAAACCACCCAGAAGUGUUUUCUCUGCCAGAGACCAGGACAUUUUGCCAGGGUCUGCCCGCAAAGAAAGGCCUUGCAAGGGAUGGUGGGAGCUGCAGGGGGUGAGGAGGAGAUGGUAAAGGAGCAGGGAAACGCCAAAGCUUGGCUGCCACUCAGCGGGCACAGCAGCCAGGCCAGCAACCAAUAGAAGUGCCCCAACCAGACCCCCCCAGGGCGGCUAUAGCCAUAGAAGUGGUGCUAGAACUCCCAAAUGGGCACCCAGUCAAGGUGAAAGGGCUGCUGGAUUCAGGCAGUUCCUGCAAUUUCUUCAGCAAGGACUUUGCACUAGAGCACCAGCUCCACCUUCUGCCCCUGGAUUUCCCCUUGCAAGUAACCACCAUUGAUGGCAGGGAGCUUCUGGGAGGGGAAGUGACACACCAGACCCCACCAAUGAGAAUGAGGGUUUCCAGGAACACGGAGACCAUCGCCUUUCAAGUAGCCUCACUGGCAGGGCCCCCAAUAAUAUUAGGGAUGAGCUGGCUAGCACAACAUGAUCCAGUGGUGGCAUGGCAUCAGAGAACGGUCACCUUUGGGUCCGCUUACUGCUUGGAACACUGUCUAGGGAGGGAAACCCCAAGAAUGACCGUGGCUGGGAUAGCUGUGGAGCCGAAAGGGGAGGUGCCACCACUAUAUGCUGACCUGCAGGAGGUCUUCAGCGAGAAGGAGGCAGAUAGACUACCCCCACAUAGGCCCUUUGACUGCCAAAUCAACUUGCUCCCUGGGGCGCAGCUACCGGUGGGUAAACUGUAUGCCAUGUCGGACAGGGAGAUGAAGGAGCUGCGGGAAUUUAUUGACAAGAACCUGAAAAGAGGCUUCAUAAGAGAAUCAAAAGCGGUAGGGGGCAGUCCAGUGUUCUUUGUGGACAAAAAGGACACUAAUCAACCCAGGCUCAUUGUGGACUAUAGGGGGGUCAAUUUGGUAUCGGAACCCGUGACCUUCCCGAUGCCCAGGAUUGACGACAUUUUAACACGGGUGAGGCAGGGGAAAUUUUUUACCAAGCUUGAUCUCAGGGGGGCAUACAACUUGAUUAGGAUGAGGGAGGGGGACGAAUGGAAGACCACAAUGUUCACACCCCUGGGGGCCUUUGAGUACCUAGUUAUGCCUUUUGGAUUACAGUCGGGCUCCGCCUGUUUUCAAGCUUUCAUGCACCACGUGUUGGGGUCCCUGCUGUACAAGAACUGCGUAGCCUUCUUGGACGACGUCUUAAUCUAUUCGGACAAUGAGGAGCAACAUGUCAGAGACGUCAGGGAAGUGCUAAAACGACUGCAGAAGCACCAGUUGUGGGUCAAGCUGGAAAAAUGUCAGUUUCACGCCAGAGAAGUCGAGUUUCUGGGGUACAAGUUGUCAGACAAAGGCUUAGCGAUGGACCCAAGCAAGGUGCAGGCAGUGCUGGAGUGUAAGACGCCCAAAACCCGGAAGGACGUGCAGAGGUUCCUAGGGUUCAGCAACUUCUACAGGAAGUUCAUCAAGAACUUCGCCCACUUGACAGCACCCAUCACAGAUUGUCUCAGUAGCAAAAGGAAGUUCGUCUGGACAGAGGAGGCCCAGCAGUCCUUUGAAAAACUGAAAAGGGCGUUCGCAUCGGAAGAGCAGCUCCUGCACGUGGAUCUGGAGAAACCCAUGAGGCUAGAGACCGACGCGUCCGACAGAGCCAUUGGGGCGAAUCUUUUGCAGCCAGGGAGGAGCAAGCAGGAAUGGAAACCGUGUGCCUUUUUCUCGAGAAAGCUGAACAAGUAGGAGCAAAAUUAUACUGUGUAUGACGGCGAACUGCUUGCGAUCUAUGCGGCGUUUCGUCGAUGGCGACAUCUACUAAUAGGGGCGCAGCACAAGAUCCAGGUUUGUACAGAUCACAAGAACUUGGAAUACUGGAGGACCGCACGAGUGCUCAACCAGAGACAGAUUCGAUGGGCACAGGAGUUCUCCAAGUUUUCCUUCGAAAUCCGACACGUGCCAGGAGAGGAAAACGUGAGAGCAGAUGCUCUCUCCCGGAAGCCGGAGUACUUGGAAGGAGAGGGGCCACCGGAAAUAUGACACGUGAUCCCCAAGGACCUAUGGGUGUGUGGGGGAACCUUGGUGGGGCAACGAGAACUGGUUGCACUUACUAGAAACGACGUGUUCGCACAAACUAAAAUCCGGGAACUCCGAGACGGUAGAGAAACCCAAGGAGGGUUUGAGGAGAAGGAAGGGGUGCUGUACUAUAAGGGGGCGCUGUAUGUACCGGGGGAGGCCCUACGGGGGAAGGUACUCAAACAACUCCACGACAACCCCACAGCUGGGCACUUUGGACAGCACAAAACCAUGAUGCUCGUCACCAGGCAGUUCUGGUGGCCCAGGGUGAGGGAGGAUGUACGGGAAUAUGUACGGGGGUGCAACCGCUGCCAAAGGGCAAAGGGGGAGCGGGCUGCCCUCGCAGGAUUAUUGGAACCCUUGCCCACGCCGGGGAAACCGUGGGAGGUGGUGUCCAUUGAUUUUAUGACCGAUUUGCCCAAAUCCCGGGGGAAGACAGCGGUCAUGGUAGUGGUUGAUCUACUAACAAAAACGUGCCAUUUUAUAGCUUGCUCACAUGCGGUCACGGCAGAGGAAACAGCCAGGUUGUUUGUAGACCACAUCUUCAGGUUGCAUGGGGCUCCUUCGAGGGUUAUCUCCGACCACGGGAAACAAUUUACUUCCCGUUUCUGGAGGAAGCUCAUGAGCUUGCUGCAGGUCGAAGUGGGCUUCUCAACGGCGAGACACCCGGAAACCAACGGGCAAGCAGAAAGAGCGAACAGUAUACUCCAGCAAUACCUACGCUGCUAUGUCAACGAGAGGCAGAACGAUUGGGUAGAGAAACUAGCGCUGGCUGAAUUUGCGUACAAUAACGCUGACCAUGUGUCAACGGGAAUGAGCCCGUUCCUGGCCAAUUAUGGGUGUCACCCCAGGGCCUUCCCGGGGAGUGGGGAGGAAGGUUGGAGCGUACCGGCGGCAGAGCAGUUUGUGGAAGAAAUGGAAGCCCUGCACCAGCAACUUAAGAUGAACUUGGAGCGGGCCAAGGAAAUUUACAAGAGGCAGGCAGACAAGCGCCGUAGGGAAGGGGAGACCAUAAGGGUGGGAGAUCAGGUGUGGUUGUCAACCCAAGGGUUACCUUUUAAGGGGGGGUGCAAGAAGUUGCAGCCCAGGCGGCUGGGACCGUUUGAGGUAACACAGCAGGUGAACCCAGUGGCAUUCAAGCUCAAAUUGCCUGACAGCAUGAAGAUACACCCGGUGUUCCAUAGGUCCCUACUCUCACCGUACAGAGAAGGACGGGGGUUCUCGGGGCGAGAGGGGGAAGUCACCACACACCUGCAGGUAGAAGAGAGGGAGCACCGCAAUUUGGCCACGGAAAUAAUUGAUUCAAGGUGGCGAGGGCGCCAGGUGGAGUACUUGGUGACUUGGGAGGGAGAACCCGGGUCGGAAAACACGUGGGUUCCCGCGGAGGCAAUCACUGACGGGUAUCUGGUGGAGGAAUUUCACCUCCUGUUCCCAGACAAACCCAAACCACUAGCGAGAUUCUGGGAGGAGCAAUUUGGAACCACAGACGAUGAAGAGGAUUUUGUGGGUUUUUCUGCCUCCAAAGGGGAGGGAGAAGAGGCUUCGGAGGAAGAAGAAUCAGACUGGGAGGCCCACCCCGAGGGAAGGGAUCAGAACGGGUGGGAAGUGGGUUUUGAAUCCUCAGAGGAUGACGACAGCUCCUUCCGGGGUUCCCGCAUCGUCGGCCGAAGAAAGGGACGAGUUGGACCAACUGGUUGGGCUUGGGGUGGUGGGGGUCCUGGGGGGGAGGUGGAUGUCAGGGAACUGACAUCGGAGCUAGAGGCGGAGGGAAGGCUCUCAAAUGAUGCUGGAGAAGGGCCCAGCAGGGAGAGAGGCAGCUCAGCAGAUGGGGAAGCAAUUCAGCGCAACACCAGGAAUAGAGAGGGGCAGAUGGGGGAAUCGGCGAGAGGGCUCCCAGACUCUUCACUGGACACCAGCGGGGAGAGCACGGGUCCUCCGCUACCCACGCCCUCCCUGCGCAGAAGACUUCCGCGCAGAGAGAGUAGGAGGAGACUGGGUGUCAAACAACUUUUAUGUUGGAAAAGGUUUAAGAAACGCCCACUGACGGAUUCUGCUAGCAACUGAGGCAGCCACGAAGUGAAGGGCUGUCCAGACUGAAAGGUUUAACAAGGCAACAAAGCCAGGAGAGGCGGCAACUUACGCACGAGCAAACCAUACUCAUUACAGCGCCAUUUCGACAGUUCCGAUGAAACACAGUCUAAGCGUCUGCUCAUUAAUUUCCCCAGACCAGUUGCUCCAUAAAUCAGUCUUUCCAGGGGGGAUAUUGCCGAAUAGAUCUAAUCCAAACAAGAUAGCAGAACAAUGGCUCACCUCCCCCUUUGACUGUAAAUCUCGUAUUGUCUGUCUCGUAAUGGCGGAUCCCUGACUGCGUCACCAAGAAAGCCUUUAAUUAAUCUUUGUUUCCACACAGUUUAUUUUCCAGUCUCACUUGCUAUAAAUCAUUGUGACGGUUCUUCUAGGGGAGGGGUUGUUAGGUAAAACAUAUUGAAAAAGAAAGAAGUCCCCCCCCCCUUCCAUUUUGUUUCAACAUACUGACAUAGCUGUGAUUCUUUGCUGUGGUCUUCUGUUCAAUCCAUCCCAUCACUCUUAACUUCUCAGCGGUAGAUUUGAUUAGCAGAUAAAACCCCCUCUCCUUCGCUCGAAACAUGUGCAUUUACUUUUUACAUCAAAUUAUUUUAUCUUAAGCAAUGCAACUAGCUCACUCUCAGAAGCAGCGUCAGGGAGAUCCAAAGGUCACUCGAGGGCUUUCCGUCCAGUGCCCCCACCCCCUCCUUCUUUCGAACUUGGGGGUGAUUUAUUGGCAACCGUGGACGAGGCUGUGUCUCCCCAUCCCCUGGGGAGACCCCGGGAGGCUGAUUUACUCCCAUCAUCAGCCCCUUAAUUACCUCGUGUGAGCCGGAGAGAUGGUAUUGUCGGUCAUCUUCCAAGGCGCCCCUAGCGACCCCCCAUAUGGAGACUCUUUUCACAGCCAAUACCCUCUGAAUCAGCUGCACUAGCAAGUUCCCCAUUUCCCGAAACCAUGACACCUGUGAUGUCAUGUGUGGGACAGGUAGAGACACAUCUGCCAGUGCAAAGGGAAUAUUUCAGCUGUGUCACCUAACAGCUGUUGGGUAGUAGAGUUGAAGUGUGACAGAUUGGUUCCAGUGAUAACGCAAUGGUUCAGGUGACACCUGCCAAAAGCAGGCUUCAGCUCUACCACCUAUCAGUCUCAGGAACUUUAAAGCACCAUGCAUGACUCUCUGCAAGAGCUAUGUGGUGCUUUGAAGUCCCGACUGUGUGACUUCAAAGCACCCAAACCACAUGGGGAGGUCACAUUGACAGGUAACUAGCCCUGCCCAACUAUCAAAUUUGGCCUGUGCAGCCAGGAUAUAAUAAGAAUCUAGCCUGUGGAAUCAAAAAGAUCCCCCCCACCUCCCCAUUAACAGGAGAUGCUGAUUCUGCCAAACACUCCAUCCCGCCCCCUGUCUUGAAUGUUUGACAUUAUUAUUAUUAUUAUUAUUAUUAUUAUUAUUAUAUUAGGUAUGCUUGAGUCUUCUUCCAGGAUGUGCUGGCAACUUUUGAACAUGCAGGCAGAGCUUAUGGGAACAAUCCCCCCACCCACUGCGGGUGUCAAAAGUCCUCGUAUUGAGAAUUUUCAGGUGUUGCCCACUAUGGGCAUUCACUGAGAAAUAAAGUUUAAGGAACAUAGGCCUAAAUCUGUCAGCAUGAAAUUCUGGAGACAUGCAGAAGAAACUUCAGCAGCUGGAGCUCCUCUCCUGUAUUCCUUCCUUAUUGAAAUUCUCUCCCUCUCUUCUCAUCCACCGUUGGCAUUACAGGAUUAUUGGGUCUUAUAUUCAUCUGUUUCUAAAAAGUUUAAACUGUCCUCUGGAAAAGGCCACCGCGCCCCAGAGGAGGAACCAAUCCUGUUUCAACUCGCUUUCUCUUCUUCCUUCCCUCCCCACUCCAAGAAAAGACCCACAUGCGUUCUGGGGAAACUCUUGCAGGUUGAUAAGCCCCAGCAGCUCUGCCUGCAGAGCGCAGGAGGACGUGAGUGAUAAACACUGGAGAUGUUCUAUUCAGGUCUCUGUGGGCACAGUCAGGAGGGCUGCAAGGUUUACCGUGUGAUGGGUAAAGGUAAAGGUACCCCUGACCCUUAGGUCCAGUCGCAGCCGACUCUGGGGUUGCACGCUCUAUAGGCUGAGUGAGCCGGCAUUUAUCCACAGACAGCUUCCGGGUCAUGUGGCCAGCAUGACUAAGCCGCUUCUGGCAAAACCAGAGCAGCGCACGGAAACACCGUUUACCUUCCCAUCAGAGCGGUACCUAUUUAUCUACUUGCACUUUGAUGUGCUUUCGAACUUCUAGGUGGGCAGGAGCUGGGACAGAGCAACGGGAGCUCAGCCCGUCGCGGGGAUUCGAACUGCCGACCUUCUUAUCAGCAAGCCCUAAGCUCUGUGGUUUAGACCACAGUGCCACCCGCAUCCCUUUACCGUGUGAUAUCAUUGCUCAAAUGUUAGCCCCACAGAAUGCAGUGGAACCUACUUCCAAGUGAUCAGUUUUAAGUUUCCAACCUUAACUCUUAUAAUCGGAUCAUUCAUUUUUUAAAAAAAUCCCACCCUAAAUCAUCUAGAAAGGUGUCCCAAUGAAUAGGACAAUUCAAGAAAGAAAACAUAUCAAAACUUUCAGUUUAAUAUGUUGUGUUAAGGAGUUUCCAUCUACACAGUAUCAUAAAACCAUAGAGUUGGAAGGUACCCUUAGGAUCAUCUAGUCCAACCCCCUGCAAUGCAGGAGUCACAGCUAAAGAAUCCCUGACAGAUGACCAUCCAACCUCUUCUUAAAAACCCGUAAUGAAGAAGAGUCCACCACCUUCUGAUGUUAUCUGUUCCACUCUCAAGCAGCUUUUACCUCCAGAAAGUUAUUCCUUUUUUCUUCUUUUUUUAAAUUGGUUUUCACAUAUUACAUUACAAUACAAAUGUACCAAAGCCAACACCAUUUCCUCCCCAUCCCACCAUACAUUUACAUUUCUAUUUCCUCAAUCCAUCAUAUUAUUCUUUUCUCCUUCCUCCCACUUCCCCCAGCCCCCACUCGAUUUCCUCCACAUUAUACAAUUUACAAUAAUCUUUGCAUUCUAUAACCGUCUCAAAUUAUCUAUAUAUUAUUAUUAUCUUUCCUUACUAAUUUUUCUUCUAUCCAGUACUUCACAUUUUAAUCUAGGCAUAUUAGCAUAUCUUUUUUGAGCAAUAUUUUGCCAUAUAUUCAUCAAAACAUUCCCACUCCUUUUUUAAUUUUUGAUUUGACUGAUUUCUUAUUAUUGUCACGGCUAAAAUGGCCGCUGUUUCUUUAAUGCGAAUAAAGCUGGGUCAGCAUGAGUCAGUGACCUGCACCAGGUUGUAUAUAUAGAAUGAGAAAUGUUAGUUUGUUGUGGGGUUGGUUGGUUGAUUAGUGAAAGCUGGUAGUGUUGUUGUAUGUCAGUCACUUUUGCACAAAGACUUUUAAGAAUAAAAGCAGAAAGCACUCUGCAAGGAUAUUCUUGUGGACUCUUUUAUGCAGACAAGGGUCUGAGGACCAGGCUGAGGAGACAAAGGGAGGUCAGAACCCUUUUCCUUUUUUUUUUUUACAAACACUGACAGGUUAUGGGCCCAGUGUUUCUGAGCAUGUGCAGAGUGCAAAACGACUAACAGCAUCUCAGCAGGGAGCUGGUAAGUCCUGGUGCUGUACGGAGCCAGUGGCUGUGCGUUGGAGCAGUUGGUGGCAAGCUGUAACUGUCUGCAGUAUCGCUGGAGCGGCCAGGAUCUGAGGAUCAGGAAAGCACUCAGCGUCGGCUACUGGAACAGUUUGAACUGCUAGAGGACCACAGUAGGCGACUCACAGAGCGGCUACACCAGUUGCAGAGCCAGGUGGGACCUGAGGGUCAACAGAGGCAGCAGCUAGAAGCCAGUGAGUGCCAGCCAGGACUGUCCUGUCAGACUCUAAAGAGAGAGUCAGGAGAGAUUGCCAGAGGCCCCACAGAAGGGGCUCAGCAAGCACCAGCAAAGAUGGCAGAUUUCCAGUCUUCCCAAGUUGUAAAUAUUGGGGGAGGCAUCCCUUUUGAACUUCUCUCAGAGAGCAACUGGCUGAGUUGGUCAAUUAAAAUGCAGCAGUUGUUAAGGAGAGAUGGACUGUGGGACUGUAUUGAAACUGAGGUUUUGAGACGGGACUCUGCUGAGAAAAGACGGCUGGGUGAAAGGGCUCAUGCCCAAAUUAUGCUGUGUUUGAGCAACUCUCAGUUAUUGCAUGUAGCAAAUGCCAGUACAGCGUUUGAGUGCUGGAAUUUAUUAAGGGCAAUGCAUGUCAGAUAAACUGCUGGAACUAUAAUUUCUCUGACCAGAAGGCUGUUCAGGACUGUUAUGAAAGAAGGCGAGAGUUUGGCAGCUCAUCUUCAAACGCUGAAAUCUCUGUUUCUUCAACUACAGCAGAGAGGUAAGCGUUAUGAUGAAGCUGACCAAACCUAAAUUAUCCUUUCAAGUUUGCCUGAAAGCUGGUUGCCUGUGAUUAACAGCAUGGAGAGUAUGCGUCCCCAAGAUCUGACCCUUGAGUAUGUGGUGGUUGGAAGAUUAACCGAAGAAGCAGAAAGAAGGUCAGAUAGACAGGCUGAACUCCAAGAGCAGAGGAGUUACAGUCGAGGGGGCCAGCAGCAGAAUCUGCCAAUGGAGCAAUGCCAAGGUUUGGACUUGGCCAUGGCGGUGAGGAGGUGCUAUAGAUGCAACCAACCCGGGCAUCUCCAAAGUCAAUGCAGGGCAAGACUCCCAGGAGACGACGUGAAGCAGAGACAGCAAUCGACGCAGAAACGUAAGCAGAAGGGGUUCUCUUCAGGGAAGAAGAACACAUGUUCUGCUCAGUUUGUGUCUGCAUUUUCUUGAGAGGAGAGGAAGAUGCCUCGAGGAACAUGGUUGCUGGACUCUGGGAGCAGCAGGAUUAUCUGCAACAGUCAGGAGGACUUUAAGACCCUGGGGAAGCCAGCCGAUGGAAAAGACUCAAUCUAUCUUGCUGGUGGUCGUAGAAGCAAGAUUGAUGGCCAGGGAACAUGUUUCCUGCAGUGCUUGAACACUACUCUACCAGAGACUCUGUUUGUCAGCAGUUUGGACUAUUGUUUACUGUCUGUAAGCUGUUUGAUUAAUGCAGGGUAUAGUGUUAAGUUCACACAGGAUGGUUGUCUGAUAAAGAAUGAAACUCAGGUAUGUGGCCAUGCAAAGAUGGAAAAUGGGUUGUAUGUAAUGCAGGACAAGCCUGUUAAGCAGCUCAGGUGGUUCAGGAUAAUUUGCCAGUUCAUAAGGGGUGUGUACAUGAACUGCACAGGGAACUGGGUCACAAAAGUUUUUGUGUGCUUUCAGAGAUGCAAAAGGUGUGCAAGAACCUAAAAGUAAAUAGAUGUAACUGUUUCUUAGAUUGCAAUGUAUGUAAAAUGGCCAAAUCUAAGAGGAAGCCUGUGGCUUCUAAAAGUGACAGAGUAUCUAAAGAGGUUUUAGAACUUGUCCAUUGUGACGUGAUAGGUCCUUUUCCACAGAAGACUGAAGGGGGCGUCAGAUAUGCUUUUCUGGUAAUAGAUGAUAAAUCACACGCAAUUCUGCACUAAUUCUACACUUGUGCACAAUUCACUGGUUCACCUUUAAUUAAAUCUCCCUCUUUCUAAGAGGUUCCCAGCGAUAAGGGUCCAGCCUCAUACCGAAAAGUAACCGGGUCUUUAGUGGCUUGCAUCUAGUGUAGGUAGUACUGAACUAGCUCCGUGGUUCUUCGCUAAAGUCAGUUUAGAUAAUACUGUACUAGCUUCUUUGUCCCCUGUACCCAGUGUGGUUGAUACCGAUACUGAAGUAGCUGGUACGCUUUUAUGUUUUUUCUUCUUGUCUUCACAGUAGGGGUCCUUGGGGGGGGGGUAGCCAGUGUGGGCAAUACCGAACUAGCUGUAGGGUUGUGUACUUUAAAAGGUUGAAUUAAUCCGUCUCUCAAAUAAUAGGAUGGCGUCUGGAGGAAAUCAACAGUCCUCUGCCCCGGGCAAUGGCGGGGCACAGCUGCCCGCCAUGCCUUGUGAUCCCCAAGCGUUUGCUCGAUUUUUCGCUGCUUUUGAAACCUUCUAUAGACAAUGUAGGCCGAGGGUUCUUGCACUUCCAGCGCCAGAAGCUUCACAGGAGGGCACUUCCGCCCGGUUUCGAAUCUUCCAUUCCUGGGUAAGGUGAUUGAGAGAGCGGUUGCUGAACAGCUUGGUAGGUUUCUGGAUGAAACAUCGGCUCCGGAUCCAUUCCAGUCCGGCUUCUGCGCUGGUCAUGGGACCGAGACGGCUCUGGUCGCCCUAACAGAUGAUCUCCGCAGGCAGCUGGAUCGAGGCGGGUCGGGGCUGCUGAUUCUUCUAGACCUGUCAGCAGCCUUCGACAUGGUCGAUCACGAACUCCUGGACCACCGCCUUGCCGACGUGGGGAUCCAGGGCACAGUCCUUCAAUGGCUGCACUCGUUUCUCUCUGGUCGGGGACAGAGGGUGGCGCUUGGGGGGGAAUUGUCAUCGCGCCACUCCUUGGUGUGUGGAGUGCCUCAGGGUGCGAUUCUCUCCCCGAUGCUUUUUAACAUCUUUAUGCGCCCCCUCACCCAGCUUGUCCAGAGUUUUGGGCUGGGUUGCCAUCAGUAUGCCGAUGACACCCAACUCUAUCUGUUGAUGGAUGGCCAUCCUGACUCGGCCCCAGACACACUGACCAGAUGUCUGGAAGCUGUGGCUGGAUGGUUACGUGGGAGCCGGUUGAAGUUAAAUCCCUCAAAGACAGAGGUCCUCUGGCUGGGAUGGGGCGAUAUGGGAUUGAGGGGCAACUCCCAUCUCUUGCGGGGUGCAAUUAGUGCCAGCAUCGUCCGUUAAGAGUUUGGGUGUAAUCUUCGAUACCUCCCUCUCUAUGGAGGCGCAGAUUACAGCUAUAACAAAGGCUGCAUUUUUUCAUCUCCGCCAAGCUAAGCAGCUGGCUCCUUAUCUCUCUCGCCCUGACCUAGCCACUGUGAUCCAUGCGACGGUCACCUCCAGGCUUGACUAUUGUAUCUCGCUCUACGUGGGGCUGCCCUUGAGACUGACCCAGAAACUCCAGCGAGUGCAGAAUGCCGCGGCGAGACUCCUUAGGGGGUCUUCGCUGCGAGAUCAUAUUCAUCCAGUACUAUACCAGCUGCACUGGCUCCCGGUGGAGUACAGGAUCAGGUUUAAGGUGCUGGUUUUAACCUUUAAAGCCUUUACGGCCUAGGACCCUCGUACCUACGGGACCGCCUCUCCUGGUAUGUCCCACAGAGAAAUUUACGGUCUGCAAAUAAAAACAUCCUGAAGAUCCCAGGCCACAGAGAGGUUAGGCUGGCCUCAACUAGAGCCAGGGCUUUCUCGGCCGCGGCUCCAAUCUGGUGGAACGCUCUGUCACAAGAGACUAGGGCCCUGCGGGACCUGACAUCUUUCCGCAGGGCCUGCAAGACAGAGUUGUUCCACCAGGCCUUUGGUCAGGGCGCAGCCUGACCCCCUCCUCUGGCAAUCUGCACAGAAUUUUGCUUAAUGGUUGCCAUCAAUUUGAUUUUAAUUUGAUUUUAAUUAAUUUUAUAAUGAAUGUUUUUAGAAUGUUGGAUUAUUUUGAUUGUUGUUAGCCGCCCUGAGCCCAGCUUCGGCUGGGGAGGGCGGGAUAUAAAUAAAAUUUAUUAUUAUUAUUAUUAUUAUUCCGGGCAGCCAGGAGGAACCGGGCACAUCGGCGUCUAUGUCGGGUGGGGCUCAACUUGAGAGCACCACAGCCGGACGCCCCAACACACGCUCCCAGUCAUCUAAUUCUGGGAAACUCACCUCGGGAGCCGGUAAAGGUAAGGCACCCGCAAAGAGUGCCAACAAGGGUAAGGCGUCUGCAAAGGCGGCCAAUAGCAAAUCCAUUUCUCAGGUUGCAGACAUCCCUAGAAUUUUUCAGGAGCAGCCGCCUCAACACAGUUCAACAGAGGGCGGCUCGGGUUCCUGCUCCGAAGCAGAGCAACCGGUAUCUCAGAUAGCCCCAUCAGUUGCCAAUUUGAACCUGGCUUUAACUUAUGACGAGAAUUUUCGUAGAAAUGCUUCUCUCCUACCCUCCACCCGCUGGGACCUAAGGCAUCCAAAUUACCGGGGCGAGGACAUUGGCCCUUACAUAGAAAAGAAGCACCAGGAACCGGGCAAGUCGGGUAAGACAGAAGCAAAACGCCGCCGCCAGUGCUGGGAAUACAACAGGGGUACAUGUUUGCGACCUUCCUGUAAGUAUCUCCAUGAAUGUGAACGCUGCCUUGGGAACCACCCGGCCACAGCAUGCCUUAAGGGUAGGCAGCAGCCCUUUCAGGGUGGCAGGGGUACUUCAACAACAAUGCUAGAUGUGUCCCCGGAUCCUCUCACCCGGGACCCAGUAACCGCCAGUAACUUGUCUCUUGGACUGGCCUUCUCCCCUAUCCGACUCCAUCCCCUUAAAACCCUACUAGACCUAUACCCUGAUAGAAAAGCCGCUAAAUACCCUUGGGACGGGUUCUCCAUUGGUUUUAGAAUUCCAGUAGCAUUUCCCCCUAACACUGGGAAUCCCAAAAACCAGAAAUCCGUAAGAGAAAUGCCUGAGAUAGCUAGAAAGAAGAUAAAGAAAGAAAUCGAGGCUGGUAGGGUUGCAGGUCCCUUUACCGAGCCCCCCCCAGAGGGUCUGCACAUAUCCCCUCUGGGCAUCGUCCCAAAAAAGGCACCGGGUGAGUUUCGCAUGAUUCUCAACCUCUCUUACCCAAGAGGUGGCUCUGUCAAUGAUGUGAUACCUCAGGAACUUUGUACUGUGAAAUACGCCUCCUUUGACCAGGCAGUAAAAAUGAUUCGCAGAUUUGGAAAAGGAGCACUUCUUGCAAAAUGCGACAUAGAGUCCGCAUUCCGCCUCCUGCCCGUGCAUCCAAAAGAUUUCCGUUGGUUGGGUUUUUGUUUUGAAGGGGCGUAUUUCAUUGACAAAGCAAUGCCCAUGGGAUGCUCCAUCACAUGCUCUGCAUUCGAGUCUUUCAGUACGUUUCUGGAUUGGGCCCUGCGUUUCAGGACAGGGUCGGUCGGAGCGUCGUAUUACCUGGAUGACUUUAUUCUGGUCGCAGAUAAUAGACAGUGAUGCUCUGCCCUUCUGGAAGCAUUCACAACCCUGGCGGAGGAACUAGGUGUACCACUGGCUUCGGACAAAACGCAGGCCCAGCCACAUCGCUGGUCUAUCUGGGCAUUGAGUUAGACACUGUAGCCCAAACUUCAAGGCUACCUGAGGGGAAACUGGUCACCCUUAAGGCAUUGAUUCAACAGCUCCUGCCCCUAAAGAAGGUUACCCUUAGGCAAAUUCAAUCUCUGUUAGGUCACUUAAAUUUUGCUUGUAGGGUGGUGGCGCCGGGCCGGCCCUUUUGCAGCUGCCUGGCCAGAUUGUCAGCAGGCCUUCGGGCACCUCAGCAUAGGGUGCGCCUCUCCAAGGAGGUAGUCUGACCUGGGAGUCUGGCUAGAAUUCCUGGACAGGUAUAACAGUAUAUCCUUAUGGUAAGACACCAUGGCGCUCAAUGCAGACUUGCAAGUCCAAUCCGAAGCGGCAGGUUCCCUGGGGUUUGGUGUUUAUUUCAGGGGACAGUGGUGCACUCAAAGAUGGCCCGCAGACUGGCAGGGCAAGCCCAUUACUCGGGACCUUACAUUUUUGGAAUUUUUCCCUAUUGUAGUGGCAGUACACUUAUGGGCGGGACAGUUUCGCAAUCAUAGGGUUUGUUUCAAUACAGAUAACCAGGCAGUAGUAUCGGUUCUUUCUAGACAGUCCGCACGUUCCACCAGGGUGGGAAACCUUUUACGGUCCUUCGUCCUCUUGUGCCUUGAGCAGAAUAUCUAUUUUCCUGCCAAAUUCAUUCCCGGCGUUAAUAAUGACAUCGCGGAUGCUCUGUUUCGUUUUCAGAUGGAUCGCUUCUGCUCAUUAGCGCCGGAUGCUCAACAGUCGCCACUGCCUUUCCCGGAGCAUCUCUGGAGCCUUGGGAGUGAGAAGUGAUGAAGGGAGUAUUGGGUGCAGUCACCCCUUCCACAAUGAGAUCUUAUAAAAAAGCUUGGGCCGACUUCUUAAGGUUUCGCAACAGUAUACCCAGCACGAGGCAGGAUUCCCCUCCUUCAACGAGGGAGGUCCUCCGCUACUUAGUUCACCUGAAGGAAUUGGGCAGGGCACCAAAGACCCUUAACAUCCAGUCCGCAGGGAUUUAUUUCUUUUGUAAAGCCCUGUUCUCUACCGACCCGUGUGCUGAUUUCGCGGUGCGUAAGGCUUUAGAGGGCUGGCGCAGACUCCAGCCCCCCAGUGCUGACAAGAGGAGGCCCAUAACUUAUGAAAUUCUGACCCAGAUACACAAAAGGUUAAGAACUAAAUGCUGGCCAAAAUAUGAAGCCCGCCUAUUCUCAGCCGCCUAUUCCAUUGCCUUCUUCGGUGCUCUCCGCAUAGGCGAGGUAGUAUGUGAGGGGGGCGGCCCCCCGCCAGAGGGGCAUCCUCAUAAGCGACUUGACCCUUUCCAGCACUGACCUAAUCAUGCAAGUGCGGAGCUCUAAGACAGACCAGCAUGGUAGGGGGGCCCUCCUUCGCUUACCAGUGGCUUCAGGGAGCGGACCUUGCCCGGUUAGGGAUACUCGGCGUUUCUUUUAUCUGAGACCUAACAACCCCGGCCCUUUCUUAAUACAUGCGGAUGGCUCACUCUUAGCCAGUCACCAGUUUACCCGUGUUAUGCGCCUGGCACUUGCAGCAUGCGGGCUGCCUGCAGCAGAAUUUGCGGCUCACUCCUUCCGGAUCGGGGCUGCUACCACUGCAGUACACCUCGGGCUCUCGACCAAGAGGAUAAAGGACAUGGGUCGGUGGAAGUCCGAUGCUUACAAAGCCUAUGUUAGAAAGAAUCUGUGACUAGCUAUUUGUUUCCUGACCUCGGUUUGUCUUUCCAUUUCCUUUCCAGGACGCAAGACGGUUCGCAUUUGGUUGGUGGGCCACAGCAUUGUGCAUUGGGCAAAGAAUCGAGCCAUGAGCACUGGAUUGGGGCAAAGCUUGAAUUUACCUCCAAAUGUUGAUGUGGCUUGGAUUGCGCGAAGAGGGAUGCGCUGGGCUGAAUUCAAGCCUGCUGUGAUGGCUAGAGCCGCCUCGGAGGGCCCACCUGAUGCCCUGGUUAUCCAGUUGGGGGAGAAUGAUCUAGCAUACCGAAAAGCUAUAGACUUAAGAUGGAACAUUUUUGAUGACUUUGCCGAUUUAAUGGCUGUUUAUCCCAACAUUACCAUCUUGUGGUCCUCACUGCUUGAAAGGCGGAUAUGGAGGGAUAGCUUGUGCCCGGUUUCAAUCAAUAGAGCAAGAAAAGUUUUGGAGCGGGCUGUGGCAGGUAGAGUGGCGGCUCUGGGAGGGUGUGUCAUAAGCCACCCCGGCAUCCAGUACAGCAAGGAGGCCCUCUACAGGCUUGAUGGCAUGCAUCUGUCAGAUGCUGGAAACGACAUUUGGUUGGGGGACAUCAUAGCAGGGAUUAGGGAUUGGUUACAGGUUUGAAGGUAUUGGCGGCGAGCUUCGCUCGAGUGGCGGUUAAGCAUUGGCAGGGGUUAUUGUUAUGUAAAUGAAGGGGGAAGGAAGCACCAUCACCUUCCCCCAAUGAAAAGGGUAGUCCGGUAGAGGACUCCGGGGGGCGUUGCCCUGUCCGAAAACUAGGGAGGUGAGGGCCUAAGGCAUGGCCCCGAGUGGUGACACCCGGGAAGUCCUAGUUGGCGUACUUCAGCAGGACUCCCCCGGCUGGUGGUUAACCCUUCCCGGGCUCCAUGCAAGGUAGUCGAUAGGAGCCAAUGCCUAAGGCCAAUACCUUUCAAUUCCUGUAAUCAAUAAAGUUGUGGCCUUUUACGCCCAUUAACCUUAAAUAAUGUGACCAGAGUCUUCAUUUCACAAGGGGGGAGGGGACUUGCCACGCAAAUCACAUUUUAGUUUGUUGUUUUUGUUAAAGCAGAAAUCUGAGUAUUUCCCCACAUUCAGAGAAUAGGUUGCCCAAGCUGAAAAGCUCUUCGCUCGCCCUGUUGUGCAGUUGCAAACAGAUAGGGGCGGAGAAUUUCUGAACAAACAAUUUGGGGCAUGGUUGCGACGUAAGGGGAUCACUCAUCGUUUGACUAACCCUUAUAGCCCUGCUGAAAAUGGUCUGUGUGAAAGACGUGGGGCUGUAAUACAGUCAGUAAAGGACUGCCUGCUACUGGAUGCAGGAUUGGGCCACAACCAUAGGCUGUGGGGCGAGGCUCUCCUUGUUGGGAUACUGCCAGGGAGAUAAAGUCCAUCAUGGCCUCCAAGCCGGCUGCCGGACGAUCCAUCGAUCUCCCGUAGUCACGCAGUAUCAACAAUUAGUGACAUGAGUUUCUAGAAAUAGCUUGCCACAUUCCAGAGCUCAUGCACACUCUAUCAGCAGAUAAUGCACAGCCAAAGUCGCACUCAGGAGAGCAUUCUUUACAAAUUUAUUCAGCGUUGAUCAGAACACAGAAAAACAUGACUGCCUGCUUUAGUGUCUACGACACAGAGAGAAAACGAAAGCAACAGAAAACAUAAACAUCCUGUGAACAGAAAAUACGCAGACUCUGACUCACAAAGCCUGCUCCCUUUUAAGGUGGAACGGAAAUAUCCUAACAUCCUCCCCCUUUCCGUGUAACCUGUAGUACCUGUGGUUCAACCCAAUUGCAACCUUUGUACAUAAACCUUAAGUUGUUCUCUGUUAACAACCUUAGACAACAGAUCAGCAGGAAUUUCAUUUCCUGGCAUGUAGGACACCUGAAUGAGUCCUUUCUGAAUACACUCUCUUGCACGAUGUAGCUUAAUCUGCAAGUACUUGGUCCUUUGCUUGCAACUCUCUGAGUUCAGCAAAGCCAAACACGAUCUAUUGUCUUGAUACACUUGUACAGGACAUUUCACAGAAACUCUGAUGUCCUUAAACAGUUGCAUCAACCAUUCACAAUCCAUGAGUGAAAAUGACAGAGCAUUGAGUUCUGCUUCACAGGAACUUAGGCUCACUGUUGUCUGCUUUUUGCACAACCAGUCAAACAGGCAGCGGUUGUACAUGUAGCAUACUCCAGAAGUGCUUGUACCAUCCGUGGUGUCACUUCCAAAACUUGCAUCUGCAAAGAUUUCAAGACCUCCAGUCUUCUGACUGGUGAACCUCAGCCUGUAGUGCAUAGUCCCUUUCAGAUAGCGGGCUAUGCGCUUCAGAGCUUUCCAAUCCUGAACAGUAGGAUUGUUGGCAUGUCUGCUAAGCAGGUUAGUGCUUACAGCUAUGUCAGGUCUUGAGCAUCUAGCAAUGAAAUUCAACUUGCCUAGAAUGCAUCUGUACAGCGUAGUGUCAGAAAACGCUUCAGCAGUACUGUCUACCUGGUAACCUGUCACCAUCGGUGUGUCUGCUGGGUUUGCAUCAACCAAAUUCAACCUGGUUAAUACAUCAGCAAUUUUCUGUGUUUGGUGUACCAGAAAAUUACCUGCUUGGUCCCUCUCCACCUGCAGAGAGAGAUAGUUGGAUACCUCACCAAGAUCCUUCAUGUCAAAGUGCUCCUUCAGCUGAGCUAGGGUGCUUUGGUACAAAGCCUGAUUCUUCCAAAACAUCAGAAGAUCAUCAACAAAACAUAAACAAUACAGUUUGUUUUGCCCCUCCUCCUUGACAAACACACAUGGAUCAGCUUUGCCCUGGUGAAAACCUAGAGAAGCAACGUCUCAGUGAGCUUUGUGUUCCAACACCUGGCACUCUGCUUGAGACCAUAUAAGGAUUUCCGCAGUUUACAGACCAUUCCCUUCUGUAUCUGCAUCCCAUCAGGUGGAAGCAUAAACAGCUCCUCCCCCAGAAUCCCGUACAAAAAAGCUGUAUUAAUGUCAUGAUGGGAAACAUGCAGUUUCUCCUCUGCAGCUAUAUUGAGCAUCAGCCGAAUGCUCUCAUAUUUGACGGUGGGUGAGUAGGUCUCGUGGUAAUCCUGUCCUGGUACCUGUGAAAAACCUCUGGCAACCAAUCUGGCUUUGUGUCUGACAACCUUGCCAUUCUGGUCUGUCUUGGCCUUGAAGACCCAUUUGCUGCCAACCAGUCUCAUCCCUGGGACUACCGGUACCAGCUCCCAAGUUUGGUUCCUAUUCAAGGAAUCAACUUCAGCCUUCAUGGCAUUAAGCCAAGGCUCAGCAUCUUUAGAGGUUAACUCCUGAACCUCUUUGAAGCUUGAAGGUUCCCACACCUUCUCUGAGCUACUAAGAACAGCAGUUGCUGUCUUAGCAAACUCAUCAGCAAAUCUCUUUGGAGGUCUGCCCUUGGUGGCUCUUUCAGAUCUGCGUAUUAGACGCAAGUCUUCUGGACUCAUCUCCUCUUUCUUAGGAGAAAAGUGACCAAUGGUGAUCAGUGGUUCUUCCAGUUCAUUGUCAGACGCAUCAGAUGGUCUGACUGAGGCCUUUGCGCUCUUGUAGUCUGCUGUGUCAUCACUGUCACUGACACCAGCAGCAGCGCCACCCACUGAACUGGAAUCCGAACUCUGAUCAUCAUCAUCAACAUCAUCAUCAUCCUCAGCUUCCUCAACUUUAGCUGCUUCUUUGACAUCACCUUCAUCCUCCUCUGGGUAACUCUGGAAAAUUCUCACAUUUCCCCCCCCCCUUAGGAUUGUACUCAACACUCUUUGUGAACUUAAUGGACUUAGAGUCAGUCAUCCAUACCCUGUAUGCACCUUUUUCGUACCCCAUGAACAAACCAUGUGGCCCAAGCUUCCCAAGCUUGUUGCUUUGUGGGGUGUGUACCCACAUGUCAGAACCAAAGAUUCUCAUGUGCUUGAUGUUGGGUUUCUUACCAAACAUCUUCUCAUAGGGGGUACAACCAAUAGGUGAUGACAAUCUGCGAUUAAAAGUGUAAACAAAAUUUGACAGAGCCUCCCCCCCAAAACUUCUCAGGGAGAUUGGCAUCAUGCAACAAUGUUUUCAUUCCUUGCAGCAACGUUUGAUUUGCUCGCUCCGCAAGCCCAUUCAUCCAUGGCGAUCUAGGUGUUGACAAGUCAUGCUGGAUUCCCUUCUCAGUCAGGAAAGCUUCAAACUGCUGAGAAGUGAACUCCCCGCCUCGAUCAGUAAACAGACAGCCAAUGCGUUUACCGUGAACAUUCUCCAACCAAGCACAGAAUGCCUUGAACUUAGGAAACGCUUGCGAUUUCUGCUCGAGCAUAAACACAUGAAUGUACCUGGAAAAAGAAUCAAUUAUAACCAUGAAGUACCUUGCUUCACCCAAUGAGGGCGCAAGUGGACCAACCAGGUCUGCGUGCACUAGCUGGUAGGGUUUGGAAGCCUGCCUGCUAGACUCCUUGCCUUUUGGAGCAACCUUCACCUUGUUCUCUGCACAAGAUACACAUUUCAUGUGAAACUUACAGGGUUUGAUGUUCAAACCCUCAACCAUCUCUGGCAUCUUGGCCAGCGCCUGCCAAGAGAGGUGACAAAACCUCCUGUGUGCAUCGUGAAUGCAUCCUGCAUGAAGAACUUUGUUAGUUUGUGCAACACAACAAGAAUCAGCAUUAGACACAACAGCACCAUUGUCGUCAUAAGUUAUACAGAACAAGCCAUCCAUAAACUUUGCAUGCAAAAUGUCCUCUUUGCCUUUUCUGAUGACACAGACGCUCCUUUUGAAGGAACUCUCAAAACCACGCCCAGUCAGCUGUGGGACACUGAGCAAAUUGUCUGCAGCACCUGGAACAUAUAGUACAUCUUUGAUGGUAGUGUGCAGACUUGCCAGUUUAACAGUCCCUUCUCCUGCAAUUCGCAACGUCUUUCCAUCAGCCAGGUGGAUCUCACCUUCUUGAGGCUUGAAGGAGAUAAAGAGAUGGCGGUCUUUCGACACAUGGCGGGUACACCCUGAAUCAACAACAAACCUGGCUUUGGCCUUUGGAGCAGCCUUUGCAGCAAGCAAAACCUUGUUUUCCACCGGCGUGGGCUUUUGCAGCUUGCCCCCCUGCUCUUGGCCAUCAGACUUGCCUUUAGCCUUUGGUGAAGCUGUGCCAGCAAACAAAACCUUGUUUUCCACUGGCGUGGGCUUUUGCAGCUUGCCCCCCUGCUCCUGGCCAUCAGACUUGCCUUUAGCCUUUGGUGAAGCUGUGCCAGCAAACAAAACCUUGUUUUCCACUGGCGUGGGCUUUUGCAGCUUGCCCCCCUGCUCCUGGCCAUCAGACUUGCCUUUAGCCUUUGGUGAAGUUGUGCCAGCAAACAAUGCCUUGUUUUUCUCUGGCGUGGGCUCUUCACCCUCCCUCUGCUUCUGGCCAUCUGCAGGCGUCUGCCUCUGUUUACCUUUGCCCUUCCGGCCUCUGCAAAGGCGAUGACCUUGGCUCCCAUGAGAAACAGAGCUCUCAGCUGCCGACUCCUUGGCUCCCCUGGAGGCUGGAAUGCUGCCUGGGAUGACGUGACAGUCAGCUCCCCUGCAGCUUGCAACCGGUGCCCUCGGCAUCCCUGCAUUCACUCGCAUUCUGGGAAACAGCCAGGACCUCCAAUGCAGUCAAACUCUGGGCUGGGAUGACUGGCAAAUGGGCUAUCUUCAAAGCAUGCCACAUCUUACGUGCAGUGGUGUUGCCAGCAAGCGUUUUAUUUCCUCCAGAGAGACGGACAAGACUAUUAUGUCUAUCGCCUUCGAAUUUUCGGCCUUCCAUCUCUCUGUCAGAGGAACUGGAGGGGCCUCACACACAGUAUGCCACACUCCAAACUGACACAGCAAGCUCUCACACCACACAGCCCAGGUCCCAUAAUUGUGCCGAUUUAGCUUUGGACACUCAGCAGCCUCAGAAGCUUGGAAAAACUCCAUUCCAGGUUUCUACUUGAGCCGUGAGCCUUUAUGCCUUCAAAAACGUCUUAUCUCGGCAGCCAUAAAUCUUGAGGCCUUUGGCGCGGCUCCCAGAUCCAUUAAUUUGCCGGAGUUCAAAGGCCCUUGCCGUGGCAAACAGAAAAGCCUCACUUUCGCUUUUCUUCCACAUACCUUUCAGCAGUCUGUCGCAGUCUUACUCUCCUGUAAGUGCUGUGAAUCUGGGCCCGAAACCUGUUGUUGGAAUACUGCCAGGGAGAUAAAGUCCAUCAUGGCCCCCAGGCCGUCUGCCGGACGAUCCAUCGACCUCCCGUAGGCACGCAGCGACAUGAGUUUCUAGAAAAUAUCUUGCCACAUUCCAGAGCUCAUGCACGCUCUAUCAGCAGAUAAUGCACAGCCAAAAGUUGCAAUCAGGAGAGCAUUAUUUACAAGUUUAUUCAGCGUUGAUCAGAACACAGAAAAACAUGACUGCCUGCUUUAGUGUCUACGACACAGAGAGAAAACGAAAGCAACAGAAAACAUAAACAUCCUGUGAACAGAAAAUACGCAGACUCUGACUCACAAAGCCUGCUCCUUUUAAGGUGGAACGGAAAUAUCCUAACAUCCUCCCCUUUCCGUGUAACCUGUAGUACCUGUGGUUCAACCCAAUUGCAACCUUUGUACAUAAACCUUAAGUUGUUCUCUGUUAACAACCUUAGACAACAGAUCAGCAGGAAUUUCAUUUCCUGGCAUGUAGGACACCUGAAUGAGUCCUUUCUGAAUACACUCUCUUGCACGAUGUAGCUUAAUCUGCAAGUACUUGGUCCUUUGCUUGCAACUCUCUGAGUUCAGCAAAGCCAAACACGAUCUAUUGUCUUGAUACACUUGUACAGGACAUUUCACAGAAACUCUGAUGUCCUUAAACAGUUGCAUCAACCAUUCACAAUCCAUGAGUGAAAAUGACAGAGCAUUGAGUUCUGCUUCACAGGAACUUAGGCUCACUGUUGUCUGCUUUUUGCACAACCAGUCAAACAGGCAGCGGUUGUACAUGUAGCAUACUCCAGAAGUGCUUGUACCAUCCGUGGUGUCACUUCCAAAACUUGCAUCUGCAAAGAUUUCAAGACCUCCAGUCUUCUGACUGGUGAACCUCAGCCUGUAGUGCAUAGUCCCUUUCAGAUAGCGGGCUAUGCGCUUCAGAGCUUUCCAAUCCUGAACAGUAGGAUUGUUGGCAUGUCUGCUAAGCAGGUUAGUGCUUACAGCUAUGUCAGGUCUUGAGCAUCUAGCAAUGAAAUUCAACUUGCCUAGAAUGCAUCUGUACAGCGUAGUGUCAGAAAACGCUUCAGCAGUACUGUCUACCUGGUAACCUGUCACCAUCGGUGUGUCUGCUGGGUUUGCAUCAACCAAAUUCAACCUGGUUAAUACAUCAGCAAUUUUCUGUGUUUGGUGUACCAGAAAAUUACCUGCUUGGUCCCUCUCCACCUGCAGAGAGAGAUAGUUGGAUACCUCACCAAGAUCCUUCAUGUCAAAGUGCUCCUUCAGCUGAGCUAGGGUGCUUUGGUACAAAGCCUGAUUCUUCCAAAACAUCAGAAGAUCAUCAACAAAACAUAAACAAUACAGUUUGUUUUGCCCCUCCUCCUUGACAAACACACAUGGAUCAGCUUUGCCCUGGUGAAAACCUAGAGAAGCAACGUCUCAGUGAGCUUUGUGUUCCAACACCUGGCACUCUGCUUGAGACCAUAUAAGGAUUUCCGCAGUUUACAGACCAUUCCCUUCUGUAUCUGCAUCCCAUCAGGUGGAAGCAUAAACAGCUCCUCCCCCAGAAUCCCGUACAAAAAGCUGUAUUAAUGUCAUGAUGGGAAACAUGCAGUUUCUCCUCUGCAGCUAUAUUGAGCAUCAGCCGAAUGCUCUCAUAUUUGACGGUGGGUGAGUAGGUCUCGUGGUAAUCCUGUCCUGGUACCUGUGAAAAACCUCUGGCAACCAAUCUGGCUUUGUGUCUGACAACCUUGCCAUUCUGGUCUGUCUUGGCCUUGAAGACCCAUUUGCUGCCAACCAGUCUCAUCCCUGGGACUACCGGUACCAGCUCCCAAGUUUGGUUCCUAUUCAAGGAAUCAACUUCAGCCUUCAUGGCAUUAAGCCAAGGCUCAGCAUCUUUAGAGGUUAACUCCUGAACCUCUUUGAAGCUUGAAGGUUCCCACACCUUCUCUGAGCUACUAAGAACAGCAGUUGCUGUCUUAGCAAACUCAUCAGCAAAUCUCUUUGGAGGUCUGCCCUUGGUGGCUCUUUCAGAUCUGCGUACUAGACGCAAGUCUUCUGGACUCAUCUCCUCUUUCUUAGGAGAAAAGUGACCAAUGGUGAUCAGUGGUUCUUCCAGUUCAUUGUCAGACGCAUCAGAUGGUCUGACUGAGGCCUUUGCGCUCUUGUAGUCUGCUGUGUUAUCACUUUCACUGACACCAGCAGCAGCGCCGCCCACUGAACUGGAAUCCGAACUCUGAUCAUCAUCGUCAUCAUCAUCCUCAGCAGCUUCCUCAACAUUAUCUGCUUUCUUCACAUCACCUUCAUCCUCCUCUGGGUAACUCUGGAAAAUUCCCACAUUUUCCCCCCACUUAGGAUUGUACUCAACACUCUUUGUGAACUUAAUGGACUUAGAGUUGGUCAUCCAUACCCUGUAUGAACCUUUUUUGUACCCCAUGAACAAACCAUGUGCCCCACGCUUCGCAAUCUUGUUGCUCUGUGGGGUGUGUACCCACAUGUCAGAACCAAAGAUUCUCAUGUGUUUGAUGUUGGGUUUCUUACCAAACAUCUUCUCAUAGGGGGUACAACCAAUAGGUGAUGACAAUCUGCGAUUAAAAGUGUAAACAAACGAGUUCAAAGACUCCCCCAAAACUUCUCAGGAGAUUGGCAUCAUGCAACAAGGUUUUCAGUCCUUGCAGCAACGUUUGAUUUGCUCGCUCCGCAAGUCCAUUCAUCCAUGGCGAUCUAGGCGUUGACAAGUCAUGCUGAAUUCCCUUCUCAGUCAAGAAAGCUUCAAACUGCUGAGAAGUGAACUCCCCGCCUCGAUCAGUAAACAGACAGCCAAUGCGUUUACCGUGAACAUUCUCCAACCAAGCACAGAAUGCCUUGAACUUAGGAAACGCUUGCGAUUUCUGCUCGAGCAUAAACACAUGAAUGUACUUGGAAAAAGAAUCAAUUAUAACCAUGAAGUACCUUGCUUCACCCAAAGAGGGCGCAAGUGGACCAACCAGGUCUGCGUGCACUAGCUGGUAGGGUUUGGAAGCCUGCCUGCUAGACUCCUUGCCUUUUGGAGCAACCUUCACCUUGUUCUCUGCACAAGAUACACAUUUCAUGUGAAACUUACAGGGUUUGAUGUUCAAACCCUCAACCAUCUCUGGCAUCUUGGCCAGCGCCUGCCAAGAGAGGUGACAAAACCUCCUGUGUGCAUCGUGAAUGCAUCCUGCAUGAAGAACUUUGUUAGUUUGUGCAACACAACAAGAAUCAGCAUUAGACACAACAGCACCAUUGUCGUCAUAAGUUAUACAGAACAAGCCAUCCAUAAACUUUGCAUGCAAAAUGUCCUCUUUGCCUUUUCUGAUGACACAGACGCUCCUUUUGAAGGAAAUCUCAAAACCACGCCCAGUCAGCUGUGGGACACUGAGCAAAUUGUCUGCAGCACCUGGAACAUAUAGUACAUCUUUGAUGGUAGUGUGCAGACUUGCCAGUUUAACAGUCCCUUCUCCUGCAAUUCGCAACGUCUUUCCAUCAGCCAGGUGGAUCUCACCUUCUUGAGGCUUGAAGGAGAUAAAGAGAUGGCGGUCUUUCGACACAUGGCGGGUACACCCUGAAUCAACAACAAACCUGGCUUUGGCCUUUGGAGCAGCCUUUGCAGCAAGCAAAACCUUGUUUUCCACCGGCGUGGGCUUUUGCAGCUUGCCCCCCUGCUCUUGGCCAUCAGACUUGCCUUUAGCCUUUGGUGAAGCUGUGCCAGCAAACAAAACCUUGUUUUCCACUGGCGUGGGCUUUGCAGCUUGCCCCCUGCUCCUGGCCAUCAGACUUGCCUUUAGCCUUUGGUGAAGCUGUGCCAGCAAACAAAACCUUGUUUUCCACUGGCGUGGGCUUUUGCAGCUUGCCCCCCUGCUCCUGGCCAUCAGACUUGCCUUUAGCCUUUGGUGAAGUUGUGCCAGCAAACAAUGCCUUGUUUUUCUCUGGCGUGGGCUCUUCACCCUCCCUCUGCUUCUGGCCAUCUGCAGGCGUCUGCCUCUGUUUACCUUUGCCCUUCCGGCCUCUGCAAAGGCGAUGACCUUGGCUCCCAUGAGAAACAGAGCUCUCAGCUGCCGACUCCUUGGCUCCCCUGGAGGCUGGAAUGCUGCCUGGGAUGACGUGACAGUCAGCUCCCCUGCAGCUUGCAACCGGUGCCCUCAGCAUCCCUGCAUUCACUCGCAUUCUGGGAAACAGCCAGGACCUCCAAUGCAGUCAAACUCUGGGCUGGGAUGACUGGCAAAUGGGCUAUCUUCAAAGCAUGCCACAUCUUACGUGCAGUGGUGUUGCCAGCAAGCGUUUUUAUUUCCUCCAGAGAGACGGACAAGACUAUUAUGUCUAUCGCCUUCGAAUUUUCGGCCUUCCAUCUCUCUGUCAGAGGAACUGGAGGGGCCUCACACACAGUAUGCCACACUCCAAACUGACGCAGCAAGCUCUCACACCACACAGCCCAGGUCCCAUAAUUGUGCCGAUUUAGCUUUGGACACUCAGCAGCCUCAGAAGCUUGGAAAAACUCCAUUCCAGGUUUCUACUUGAGCCGUGAGCCUUUAUGCCUUCAAAAACGUCUUAUCUCGGCAGCCAUAAAUCUUGAGGCCUUUGGCGCGGCUUCCAGAUCCAUUAGUCUGCCGGAGUUCAAAGGCCCUUGCCUCGGCAAACAGAAAAGCCUCACUUUCGCUUUUCCUCCACGUACCUUUCAGCAGUCUGUCGCAGUCUUACUCUCCUGUAAGUGCUGUGAAUCUGGGCCCGAAACCUGUUGUUGGGAUACUGCCAGGGAGACAAAGUCCAUCAUGGCCCCCAAGCUGUCUGCCGGACGAUCCAUCGACCUCCCGUAGGCACGCAGCGACAUGAGUUUCUAGAAAAUAUCUUGCCACAUUCCAGAGCUCAUGCAUGCUCUAUCAGCAGAUAAUGCACAGCCAAAAGUUGCAAUCAGGAGAGCAUUAUUUACAAGUUUAUUCAGCGUUGAUCAGAACACAGAAAAACAUGACUGCCUGCUUUAGUGUCUACGACACAGAGAGAAAACGAAAGCAACAGAAAACAUAAACAUCCUGUGAACAGGAAAUACGCAGACUCUGACUCACAAAGCCUGCUCCCUUUUAAGGUGGAACGGAAAUAUCCUAACCCGCUAAAUCAAUGCACGAUUGACUAUCUUCAUACACUUGGAUAGGCAAAUCUACUUUACAAUCUAGAUCUUUUAGUAUCUGUAUAAACCACAUGAUUUCAUUGCAUGCUAGCGACAGGCUCCCAUAUUCUGCCUCACAGGAUGAGGUCGCAACAAAUCCUUGUUUCUUUGACUUCCACCCAAUUAUGGAAUUGGCAAACAUCAUAACCAUUCCACUUGUAGAUUUUCUAGUAGCUACACAGCUUCCCCAGUCCGCAUCAACAAAUACUUCUAGUUUUUCGUCUUGUGUACUAGAUAUCUUCAAACAUACAUUUAAUGUCCCCUUUAGAUAUUUGAUAAGCCUUUUCAAAGCACACCAAUCAGCAGUCCUGGGUUUAGAUACACGUUGGCUCAGAACAUUUGUAGCACAUGCAAUGUCUGGCCUUGACCACUGGCUUAAAUACAACAGUGAUCCUAUUUUUGAGUGAUACAACUCAGGCUGAUCAAAUUCAUCAUCACACACUGUCUUUGGGAAAUCUGGUGUCACGGGAGUCUGAACUGGCUUGCAGUUUUCCAUGCCAAACUGCUCUAUCAAAUGAAGAAUUUUCUCUUUCUGGCUUAAUAGAAAGCUUCCAUCAGCUUCCUGCCUUACUUCUACUCCCAAGUAAUUGCUUACAGGCCCUAAGGAUUUAAGCUUAAACCUCUUUUCCAGUUGACUUGGGAGCUUCUGGAUCUCAUCUGUGGAACUCCCUGCCACAAGCAAAUCAUCAACAAAGACUAAGAGCAUUAGAUAUUUGUUGCCUGUCCCCUUGGUGUACAGGCAUGGAUCAGCCACACUCCUUUUAAAACCAAGUUUUACAAAGGCUUCAUUUAAACACUGGUUCCAACACCUUCCACUUUGUUUGAGACCAUAGACAGCCUUUUUCAAACACCAGACUGCACCAUUCCCCUCUUCAAACCCAGGGGGUUGUCUCAUUAACACUUCAUGGUCUAAAUUUGCAUGCAGAUAUGCUGCUUCAACAUCAAAAUGGUGCACUGCUAAUUGUCUUACAGCAGCAAUGGAAAGCAUUAAAUGAAAAGUUUCACUCUUUACAGUGGGAGAAAACGCUUCAUCAUAACUCUCCCCUUUAAUCUGAGUGAACCCUCUGGCUACUAAUCUGGCUCGAAAACGUGGUUCCCCAGAUGCAAGGGUUUUCCUUUUAUAAACCCACUUGCAUGACACCACUCUGCCACCAGGUGGCGGCAUUAUGACCUCAAACACUUUGUUACGUUUAAAAGAGUCCAUUUCUUCUUUCAAAGCUUGUUCCCACAAAGCACAUUCCCCAGGGGGUAAGUCUAAGACUUCAUUAUAACUUUGUGGUUCCACACAAUUCACAUUGCAUGCUCUCACUCCUCCUAGGGUCAAAUGCUGAGGAGGUACACCCUUGUUUGAACGUUUGGAGCGCCUAGGCACAACUACUUCUUCUUCCCCCCUUAUCUCUGGCUCUUCUUCCUCUUCCUCUAGAGAAGAAGUAUUAUCUAUUGCCACAUCUUUUGGGGAAAUCUGUGCUUCCUCCUGUGCAUCCUGCUCCUGUGUUGCCAAUGGCUGAGAAGAAGCCUCUUCUCUUACUUGCAGGGGCAGUAGGCAAUCUGAGUUGGCAUGGAUCGCAGUCCAUCUGUCCUGGUCAGCGAAGUCUGCGCUUCGUGACAGAACCACGUGUCCUGGGCAUAAAUUGAAACGCCACCCUUUGCCAUAGGACUGGUAUCCCACAAACCACAGUCUCUGCACUCUAGCGCCCCCUUUCUGGCGCUGAGCUUUGGGGAUAUUUACAUGUGCCCAAGAACCCCAGUUAUGGAUCAUUGUCCACUCUGGUUCUUUCCCAAACAACACUCGAUAAGGAAUAUCUUUUAUAGAGCUAGACCAGGUUCUGUUAAUCAAAAAGUUCGCUGUAAGGAGUGUUAGGAUAUUUCCGUUCCACCUUAAAAGGGAGCAGGCUGUGAGUCACAGAGUCUGCGUAUUUCCUGUUCACAGGAUGUUUAUGUUUUCUGUUGCUUUCGUUUUUUCUCUCUCUGUGUCGUAGACACUAAAGCAGGCAGUCAUGUUUUUCUGUGUUUUGAUCAGCGCUGAAUAAACUUGUAAAUAAUGCUCUCCUGAGUGCGACUUUGGCUGUGCAUUAUCUGCUGAUAGAGUGUGCAUGAGCUCUGGAAUGUGGCAAGCUAUUUCUAGAAACUCAUGUCACUAAUUGUUGAUACUGCGUGACUACGGGAGAUCGAUGGAUCGUCCGGCAGCCAGCUUGGGGGCCAUGAUGGACUUUAUCUCCCUGGCAGUAUCCCAACAACAGGUUUCGGGCCCAGAUUCACAGCACUUACAGGAGAGUAAGACUGCGACAGACUGCUGAAAGGUAUGUGGAGGAAAAGCGAAAGUAAGGCUUUUCUGUUUGCCGCGGCAAGAGCUUUUGAUGUCCGGCAGGCCUAAUUGGUCUGGGAGUCGAGCCAAACAGGCCUCAAGAUUAAUGGGAGCCGAGAUAAGAAGUCUCUGAAGUGAAUAAGACUCACGGCUCAAGUAAAAAGCUGGAAUGGAGUUUUUCCAAGCUUCUGAGGCUGCUGAGUGCCCAAAGCUAAAUUGGCACAAUUAUAAAACCUGGGCUGUGUGGUGUGAGAGUUUGCUGCGUCAGUUUGGAGUGUGGCAUACUGUGUCUGAAGCCCCUCCAGUUCCUCUGACAGAUAGAUGGAAAGCCCAGAAUUCGAGGGCCAUUGACGUAAUAGUCUAGUCCGUCUCUCUGGAGGAAAUUAAAACGUUAGCUGGCAACGUGACUGCACGUAAGAUGUGGAAUGCUUUGAAAGAAGCUCAUCUGCCAGUCAUCCAAGCCCAGAGUUUGACUGCAUCGGAGGUCCUGGCUUUUUCCCAGAAUGCGAGUGAAUGCAGGGAUGCCGAGGGCACCGGUUGCAAGCUGCAGGGGGAGCUGACUGUCACGUCAUCCCAGGCAGCAUUCCAGCCUCCAGGGGGAGCCAAGGAGUCGGCAGCUGAGAACUCUGUUUCUCGUGAGAACCAAGGUCAUCGCCUUUGCAGAGGCCGGAAGGCCAGAAGUAAACAGAGGCGGAUGCCUGCAGAUGGCCAGAAGCAGAAGGAGGGUGAAGAGCCCAUGCCAGUGGAAAACAAGGCUUUGUUUGCUGGCACAGCUUCACCAAAGGCUAAAGGCAAGUCUGAUGGCCAGGAGCAGGGGGGCAAGCUGCAAAAGCCCACGCCAGUGGAAAACAAGGUUUUGCUUGCUGCAAAGGCUGCUCCAAGGGCCAAAGCCAGGUUUGUUGUUGAUUCAGGGAGUACCCGCCAUGUCUCAAAAGACCGCCAUCUCUUUAUCUCCUUCAAACCUCAAGAAGGUGAGAUCCACCUGGCUGACGGAAAGACAUUGCGAAUCGCAGGAGAAGGGACUAUGAGACUGGCAAGUCUGCACACUACCAUCAAAGAUGUACUAUAUGUUCCAGGUGCUACAGACAAUUUGCUCAGUGUCCCACAGCUUCCUGGGUGUGGUUUUGAGAUUUCCUUCAAGAGGAGCGUUUGUGUCAUUAGAAAAGGCAAAGAGGACAUUAUGCAUGCAAAGUUUAUAGAUGGUUUGUUCUGUAUAACUUAUGAUGACAAUGGUGCUGUUGUGUCUAAUGUUGAUUCUUGUUGUGUUGCACAAGCUAACAAAGUUCUUCAUGCAGGAUGCAUUCACGAUGCACACAGAAGGUUUUGUCACCUCUCUUGGAAGGCACUGGCCAAGAUACCAGAGAUGGUUGAGGGUUUGAACAUCAAACCCUGUAAGUUUCACAUGAAAUGUGUAUCUUGUGCAGAGAACAAGGUGAAGGUUGCUCCAAAAGGCAAGGAGUCUAGCAGGCAGGCUUCCAAACCCUACCAGCUAGUGCACGCAGACCUGGUUGGUCCACUUGCGCCCUCUUUGCGUGGAGCAAGGUAGUUCAUGGUUCUAAUUGAUUCUUUUUCCAGGUACAUUCAUGUGUUUAUGCUCAAGCAGAAAUCGCAAGCGUUUCCUAAGUUCAAGGCAUUCUGUGCUUGGUUGGAGAAUGUUCACGGUAAACGCAUUGACUGUCUGUUUACUGAUCGAGGCGGGGAGUUCACUUCUCAGCAGUUUGAAGCUUUCUUGACUGAGAAGGGAAUUCAGCAUGACUUGUCAACGCCUAGAUCGCCAUGGAUGAAUGGACUUGCGGAGCGAGCAAAUCAAACGUUGCUGCAAGGACUGAAAACCUUGUUGCAUGAUGCCAAUCUCCCUGAGAAGUUUUGGGGGGAGUCUUUGAACUCGUUUGUUUACACUUUUAAUCGCAGAUUGUCAUCACCUAUUGGUUGUACCCCCUAUGAGAAGAUGUUUGGUAAGAAACCCAACAUCAAACACAUGAGAAUCUUUGGUUCUGACAUGUGGGUACACACCCCACAGAGCAACAAGAUUGCGAAGCGUGGGGCACAUGGUUUGUUCAUGGGGUACAAAAAAGGUUCAUACAGGGUAUGGAUGACCAACUCUAAGUCCAUUAAGUUCACAAAGAGUGUUGAGUACAAUCCUAAGUGGGGGGAAAAUGUGGGAAUUUUCCAGAGUUACCCAGAGGAGGAUGAAGGUGAUGUGAAGAAAGCAGAUAAUGUUGAGGAAGCUGCUGAGGAUGAUGAUGACGAUGAUGAUCAGAGUUCGGAUUCCAGUUCAGUGGGCUGCGCUGCUGCUGGUGUCAGUGAAAGUGAUAACACAGCAGACUACAAGAGCGCAAAGGCCUCAGUCAGACCAUCUGAUGCGUCUGACAAUGAACUGGAAGAACCACUGAUCACCAUUGGUCACUUUUCUCCUAAGAAAGAGGAGAUGAGUCCAGAAGACUUGCGUCUAGUACGCAGAUCUGAAAGAGCCACCAAGGGCAGACCUCCAAAGAGAUUUGCUGAUGAGUUUGCUAAGACAGCAACUGCUGUUCUUAGUAGCUCAGAGAAGGUGUGGGAACCUUCAAGCUUCAAAGAGGUUCAGGAGUUAACCUCUAAAGAUGCUGAGCCUUGGCUUAAUGCCAUGAAGGCUGAAGUUGAUUCCUUGAAUAGGAACCAAACUUGGGAGCUGGUACCGGUAGUCCCAGGGAUGAGACUGGUUGGCAGCAAAUGGGUCUUCAAGGCCAAGACAGACCAGAAUGGCAAGGUUGUCAGACACAAAGCCAGAUUGGUUGCCAGAGGUUUUUCACAGGUACCAGGACAGGAUUACCACGAGACCUACUCACCCACCGUCAAAUAUGAGAGCAUUCGGCUGAUGCUCAAUAUAGCUGCAGAGGAGAAACUGCAUGUUUCCCAUCAUGACAUUAAUACAGCUUUUUGUACGGGAUUCUGAGGGAGGAGCUGUUUAUGCUUCCACCUGAUGGGAUGCAGAUACAGAAGGGAAUGGUCUGUAAACUGCGGAAAUCCUUAUAUGGUCUCAAGCAGAGUGCCAGGUGUUGGAACACAAAGCUCACUGAGACGUUGCUUUCUCUAGGUUUUCACCAGGGCAAAGCUGAUCCAUGUGUGUUUGUCAAGGAGGAGGGGCAAAACAAACUGUAUUGUUUAUGUUUUGUUGAUGAUCUUCUGAUGUUUUGGAAGAAUCAGGCUUUGUACCAAAGCACCCUAGCUCAGCUGAAGGAGCACUUUGACAUGAAGGAUCUUGGUGAGGUAUCCAACUAUCUCUCUCUGCAGGUGGAGAGGGACCAAGCAGGUAAUUUUCUGGUACACCAAACACAGAAAAUUGCUGAUGUAUUAACCAGGUUGAAUUUGGUUGAUGCAAACCCAGCAGACACACCGAUGGUGACAGGUUACCAGGUAGACAGUACUGCUGAAGCGUUUUCUGACACUACGCUGUACAGAUGCAUUCUAGGCAAGUUGAAUUUCAUUGCUAGAUGCUCAAGACCUGACAUAGCUGUAAGCACUAACCUGCUUAGCAGACAUGCCAACAAUCCUACUGUUCAGGAUUGGAAAGCUCUGAAGCGCAUAGCCCGCUAUCUGAAAGGGACUAUGCACUACAGGCUGAGGUUCACCAGUCAGAAGACUGGAGGUCUUGAAAUCUUUGCAGAUGCAAGUUUUGGAAGUGACACCACGGAUGGUACAAGCACUUCUGGAGUAUGCUACAUGUACAACCGCUGCCUGUUUGACUGGUUGUGCAAAAAGCAGACAACAGUGAGCCUAAGUUCCUGUGAAGCAGAACUCAAUGCUCUGUCAUUUUCACUCAUGGAUUGUGAAUGGUUGAUGCAACUGUUUAAGGACAUCAGAGUUUCUGUGAAAUGUCCUGUACAAGUGUAUCAAGACAAUAGAUCGUGUUUGGCUUUGCUGAACUCAGAGAGUUGCAAGCAAAGGACCAAGUACUUGCAGAUUAAGCUACAUCGUGCAAGAGAGUGUAUUCAGAAAGGACUCAUUCAGGUGUCCUACAUGCCAGGAAAUGAAAUUCCUGCUGAUCUGUUGUCUAAGGUUGUUAACAGAGAACAACUUAAGGUUUAUGUACAAAGGUUGCAAUUGGGUUGAACCACAGGUACUACAGGUUACACGGAAAGGGGAGGAUGUUAGGAUAUUUCCGUUCCACCUUAAAAGGGAGCAGGCUUUGUGAGUCAGAGUCUGCGUAUUUUCUGUUCACAGGAUGUUUAUGUUUUCUGUUGCUUUCGUUUCUCUCUGUGUCGUGAGACACUAAAGCAGGCAGUCAUGUUUUUCUGUGUUCUGAUCAACGCUGAAUAAACUUGUAAAUAAUGCUCUCCUGAUUGCAACUUUUGGCUGUGCAUUAUCUGCUGAUAGAGCGUGCAUGAGCUCUGGAAUGUGGCAAGAUAUUUUCUAGAAACUCAUGUCGCUGCGUGCCUACGGGAGGUCGAUGGAUCGUCCGGCAGACGGCUUGGGGGCCAUGAUGGACUUUAUCUCCCUGGCAGUAUCCCAACAGAUUUGCCUAUCCAAGUGUAUGAAGAUAGCCAAUCGUGCAUUGCAUUAGUGGGCUCGGAAAUAAUGAAAUCCGCAUCAAAACAUAUUGCUAUCCGUCAUGCAAAUGUUAGAGAUUUUGUACAGAAUGGGAUAAUCAAACUGGAGUAUUGUCAAUCACAAGAUAAUAUUGCUGAUUUGUUUACUAAGCCUUUGCCAGCAACAUGCCAUAAUGAAUUGAUGACAAAACUGGGUUUAUGUAUAUAAUGUAUGUAUGUAUUGUUUCUGUUGAGGUUUUUCGCAUUUAAGAAACAGAAGGGGUGUCACGGCUAAAAUGGCCGCUGUUUCUUUAAUGCGAAUAAAGCUGGGUCAGCAUGAGUCAGCGACCUGCACCAGGUUGUAUAUAUAGAAUGAGAAAUGUUAGUUUGUUGUGGGAUUGGUUGGUUGAUUAGUGAAAGCUGGUAGUGUUGUUGUAUGUCAGUCGCUUUUGCACAAAGACUUUUAAGAAUAAAAGCAGAAAGCACUCUGCAAGGAUAUUCUUGUGGACUCUUUUAUGCCGACAAGGGUCUGAGGACCAGGCUGAGGAGACAAAGGGAGGUCAGAACCCUUUUCCUUUUUUUUUUUUUUACAAACACUGACAAUUAUAGCAGUUAAUUUUGCCAAAAUUAAAUAUUAAUUUAGUUUACAAAUCCAUUCCUCCUUUGUGGGUAUAAUUUGUCACUUCCACCUAGCAGCAAUCACUAUUCUAGCAGCUGUACUUGCAUAUAGAAAAAUCCCCCCCCCCCCGUGGUAUCUCUGUUAGAAAAACGCCUGCCCGGGAGAGUUGCCAGCUUCCCAGGCAGUCUGGGGGCAUUCUCCGGAGGCCACUCUCUGGCUGGAACCCAGGAAUCCACCUUCAGUCCAGAGAGGCCGUAAAUAAGCGAUCCCUCCCUUCUGAGAGGAACACACUAACAAACCUCUGGCAAUCCAUCACAGAAGAAUGAGGCAGUCCGUAGUCUAACAACUACUUUAUUAAGACUGUACAAAACAUGGCUGCUCACCCAAGCAGUCCAUCAUGAGAGUCUGCGACUCGACUCUGCUUCAAUCCAGAAGUGGAAGACGCUCCCUGUAAUUCCGCCCCGGUUACACUGAGAAACUCUGAGACCUGGCUCAGACAUCCUGUCUCACGUUCAGAAACAUCAGACACAUCACAUGAUGUAAACAAUUCAGCUGUUUCCCCGCAGCUUGUGGGAACUGAAAUCCCAACAUCCUCCCCCAUUUGAGUCACACUAGCUGCGAAAACAAAAGCAGCAUCAAGCAAGGAAGACAAACAGUUGUUAUACACAUAACAAACCCCUGUUGUUCCAGCUCCACCUUUGGAACUACCUGCAACUGGAUCUACCAGUUGAAACCUCUGGUGAUUUCCUUUCCAAGGAACUAGAGCUUCGGCUCUACCUUGGCUAGGGAGAAUUGUGUUGCGCCUUGCAACCUCCAGGAAUGGCUUUGUCUCUGCCCUGGACAAACCUUGAACCUGGCUUGAGCUGUUAACAACAGCUAUACAUGCCAUAGCUGAGUUAGCAAACUCCUGAGAGUACCUUUUGGGUGGCACGCCCUUUGUGACUCUCUCAGAUCUGCAAAUGAGGUGCAGAUCCUCCUUGCUGGCUGAUUCUUCCUUGGGACCUUUGGAAGAAACACGCCCAACAGUAAACAAUGGUUCUGUCAAUUCCAGUUCAGCCUGAACCUGUGUAGGCCUGGACAUUGUGUGUGAACCCACCUCAAUGACUGUGUCAUCAGAACUUUCAGUGGUGCUUUCACUGUCACUCUCAAUAUCAGAAUACACAUCUGUAUUGACUUCAGUGAGAAAACAGUGGAGAAACUCUUUCUCCUGUCUACCAGUGCAUUCUACAUGUUUUGUCAGAAUCACUCAAUCAGACUCGGGAAGAACUACUCUGUAGUAACCCUUUUCGUAACCCACAAAAAUGCCCUUAGCACCUUUGACUCUCUGUGGUGUCUCCACAUGCACCUGGGAUCCGAAAACCCUAAAGUGUUUCACUGAAGGUUUUCUCUGGAACAGUUUCUCAAAUGGAGAACUUUCCAUACCUGCUGAUACCUUUCUUACCCACGUGUAAUAAUAUGUGUUCAGCGACUCAGCCCAGAACUCUUGGGACAAAUCUGCACUUUGCAGUUGUGCUUUCAUGCCUUUCUGCAACUCUGUGUUCACCUUGACACAUACACUCUUGUUCCAUGAAGCCUCUGAGACAGCAACCUUGUGCUCUAUCUCGCAUUUCUCUAGGAAAUCUUUGAAAUCCCGUGAAACAAAAACUGGCUUUUCAUCUGUGAAAAGACUUUCAAUAUUAGCAUCAUGAACAAAUUCCACCUUUUCACAAAACUCUUUAAUUUUGCUAAGGUCUGUUGCUGCUUCUGCAAUACGUAAAUCCAGACAUAUUGAGAAAAACAAUCAACCAUUACAAGAUAGUACUUUGCAUUGCCUCUAGUGAGCGGUAGAGGACCAAUUACAUCAGCAUACACUCGCUGAAAAACCUUGGUAACCUUCGUAGACCUGUGGCCUUUGGCACCUUCUGUAGAAGAACCUGUAAAACAAGACACGUUAGUUUUACAAUCUUUACAAUCAGUACUAUCAAAACGCAACAAAUACAGUCCAUCUUCUUCUUUGGCAGAAAGAAAUGGCUUCUUAUCCUUGAAGAUUGUACAUCUUCUCUCAUUGAAGGACACCACCAGUCCUUGCUUUGUCAGCUGUGACACGCUGAGCAGGUUAAAUUCCAAACCUGGCACAAAGUACACACUGUUAAUAGUCAGAUUGAGACUUUGAAGAAAAACAGUCCCAAAUCCAGUAGCUUCCAGCUCCUGACGAUUAGCUUGCUUCACGGUGAAACGUCGACUCUCAAAAGUGGAAAAUAUCCCUCUUCUUCCGGAUAAAUGGUUUGUUGCACCCGUGUCUGCGACAAACGAAUUCCAGGUCGACGGUAAAGACUUUGGCAAAAACAAAGCUUUAGCAGGCUUUGUCUGAGGCUUAGCACGACUUUUGCUACCGGCCUCUGCCUUUCCAGAGCUCCCCUUAGCUCCUUUGGAAACACGGCUUUUGCAGUUCCUCUGCACAUGGCCGAGAAGUCCACACUUGUGGCAAUGAAUGGCGUUUAAGGCAACUGCCUGCUCCUCCUGAGCGACUGUGGGGGACGCUGAUGUAGCUCCACUCUCCCCCUCAGAAACGGCAAGUGCAGCCAAUCGAUCAUUCCCAUUCAUCAGAGCUGCACAGAUCCUUGAGACGUUAAGAUCCACAGCUGGCAGGGUGCCCAGCUGACUGGCAACAGUCCCAAACCUCUGGUCUAGGCUGUUUAUCAACAUGAAGCAAAACACAGCCUCAUCUAAUGGAAAAUUCCUCUCCGCCAGCUGGUGAUGCAAAUAUUGCAUCCUGGUGAGGUGUUCCCGGAGAUCUCCUCCCACUUUCAACCUCAUAUUGGUGAGCUGCUGAAAGUGCAGCAAAGCUGUCCUGGCUGCUUCACGCAUGUGCACUCGGCGUAAUGCCUGCCACAUUAGCCUUGCGUGCGCACAACCCAUGAAUUAACUGGUCAUCAGACAGACAGAGAAUUAUUGCAGCCUUUGCUUGGGUGUCGUGAUCGUUCCAUAGCCUUCCCAGGGCUGCAGGAACUGCGUUCUCAACAACAUCCCAUAUUCUUUGGCGCUGUAACAUUGCUUUCAUUUUCAGACACCAGCUCGAAUAAUUAGCAUUGGUCGGGGGGGGGGGGAAAUCAUCUUGCCCUCCCCUUGCCAAGAAUCCAUCUUGGCUCCAACUUUAAAACAGCUAUCAGCUUCUUCUGAGCAACAAGCUGUAAAUCUUAAAGCAGUCUAUGAGCCUCUUUAAUUGCUCAAUUCUGACUUGCUUCUCCCUUUGAGGUUUAGCAGCCUCAUAAAUCAAAAGCUGAUUUACUCACAGUUCCCCUUUUAGCUGCAAGCAGUCCCGGUUUCCGUCUUUCUACUGGCAGGAAAACAAACAGCUGUAACAGGCUGCUUGUCGCUGCCCCGGAAUGAGGAACUGGGCAGUGCUUUGUUCCAAAGCAGCAGCUUCUUUUGCAGAACUUCAGAGAUCCGAUCGGCACCAUUCAGUCAAGCCUUUUGACCAUCGAUCCGCAUCGGCACCCAUCUGCAAAGAGGCAACCUCCAGCCAUCCGCUGGCAAAACAUCAGAGGUCUGGCUAUCACAGAACCAUCCUCUGCUACCACAUGUUGGAAAAACGCCUGCCUGGGACGGUUGCCAGCUUCCCAGGCAGUCUGGGGCAUUCUCCGGAGGCCACUCUCUGGCUGGAACCCAGGAAUCCACCUUCAGUCCAGAGAGGCCGUAAAUAAGCGAUCCCUCCCUUCUGAGAGAAACACAUUAACAAACCUCUGGCAAUCCAUCACAGAAGAAUGAGGCAGUCCGUAGUCUAACAACUACUUUAUUAAGACUGUACAAAACAUGGCUGCUCACCCGAGCAGUCCAGCAUGAGAGUCUGCGACUCGACUCUGCUUCAAUCCAGAAGCGGAAGACGCUCCCUGUAAUUCCACCCCGGUUACACUGAGAAACUCUGAGACCUGGCUCAGACAUCCUGUCUCACGCUCAGAAACAUCAGACACAUCACAUGAUGUAAACAAUUCAGCUGUUUUCCCGCAGCUUGUGGGAACUGAAAUCCCAACAAUCUCAUCAUCUAUCAAUCCAAGGAGAUACCGUAUUUUUCACCCCAUAGGGCGCACCUAGUUUUUUUGGGGGGGAAAUAAAGAAACCCCCGACCCCAGCCCCCAGAACAGGCUGCUAUCCGCAAGCCUAGGCAGCCCGGCGGGAAGGCGUGCCGGUCUCCCCAGGCUUGCAGAUAUCUUCCCGAAGCCUGGGGCGCGUGGCUCAGCGCGCCCCAGGCUUCGGGAUGCAAGCAGCUCCCACCGCCAGCCUCCAAACCAGGUUGGGGAACAGUGGGAAGGUGCGCUCCGCCUCCCCGCUGUCCCCUGAGCUUGUGGGGCUGGCGGUGGGGAGAAGCGCUGCUUUCCCCACUGCCAGCCUCCAAACCAGGUCGGGGAACAGUGGGAAGGCGCGCUCCGCCUCCCCGCUGUCCCCCGAGCUGGUGGGGCUGGCGGUGGGGGUCAGGUUUGGAGGCUGCUAUCCACAAGCCUUGGGAGCCCAACGGGAACUCCCGCGGAGCUCCCAAGGCUUGCGGAUAGCUGCCUGAAGCCUGGAGAGCGAGAGGGGUCGGUGCGCCUUCAUUUUUGGAGGGGAAAAAGUGCGUCCUAUAGAGCGAAAAAUACGGUAUGUCUCUGGUUUCUUUGUUAUUGAUAUUUUCAACGUCUUCUUUAGUUCUUUGUGUACUACUAUCCCAAAUUUCUUAAUUUCCUCACACCUCCACCACAUAUGUAUUGUUGUUCCUAUUUCUCCACCACGUCUCCAACAGAGGUUGGAUUUCAGUUUGUAUAUCUUUGCCAACUUCACUGGCGUUAAGUACCACCUAUAGAACAUCUUUACAAAAUUUUCUUUAAUUGUAUAUGAGGCAGUAAAUUCUAUAUCCUCUCGCCAGAGUUUCUCCCAUUGCUCUAGAUAGAUAGAUAGUAUGUCUGAAAUCCUGAGACCAUUUAAUCAUCGUUUCUUUCACUUCUUCCUCCAUCAAUUCCCAGUCCAAUAAAAGAUUAUAUGUUUUGGAUAACAAUUUGUUGUUAUUCUGUAUCACUGUGACGUUAAAUUACGAAUCCUCUUUUGCAAAUCCUUUCUUUUGAUCCGAGUUGAAUAUACUUCUAAGUUGUAUAUACUGCCAUCUGUCAACUUCAUAUUGCCAUAUAUCUUCAUAGGAUUUUAAUCUGAGUUUCCCCUGUUCCUCUUCCAAUAAUUGUCUAUAUGUUGGCCAAUUUGUCCUCAUAUUCAAUUUUUUGAUAGCAUAUGCCUCCAGCGAUGAUAUCCACCAAGGUGUCUGUGGUUCCAGAUGUAAUCUAUAUUUGUUCCAAACUUUAUAUAAUGCACCUCUUAAUAUAUUGACUUUUACUUUCUCGUAAUUAAGAUACGCAUGCCAUCCGUAUCUAUUAUUAAAAUUUUCAAGAUCUAAUAUAUUAUUUUUUUCCAAUCUAAUCCAAUCUCUUACCCAAAUAAAACAUUCCGCUUCAUAAUAUAAUUUUAAAUUUGGCAAUGCUAAUCCUCCCCUUUCCUUUCUUUCUGUCAAUAAUUUAUAUUUUAUCCACGGUUUUUUCCCUUGCCAUACAAAACUCAUUAUACCUUUCCUCCAUUCUUCAAAGCAAUUCUCUUUAUUUAUAAUUGGUAUUGUUUGGAACAAAUAUAGCAUUUUUGGCAGGACAUUCAUUUUAAUUAUGGAGACUCUUCCCCAUAAUGAUAACUUUAAUCUACUCCAGGUUUCAAAAUCUUUCCUUAUUCCUUUCCAAACUUUCUCAUAAUUAUUUUUGUACAGGUUGAUAUUCUUCAUAGUUAGAUCUAUACUCAAAUAUUUUGCUUUCUUAACAAUCUGUAAGCCAACCUUUUCCUGAAGUUCUUUUUGCUCUUCUUCUUGCAUAUUUUUUACCAUAAGUUUUGUCUUUUCCAUAUUCAUUUUAAAGCCAGACACUUUGCCAAAAUCCUGUAUUAUCUUUAUUGCUUUAGUGAUACUUGCUUCUGGUUCUUCUGUUGUUAACAAAAUAUCAUCCGCAAAAGCCCUGAUCUUAUAAACCUCUUUUCCCAGUGUUAUUCCUAUGAUCUCUUUGUCUUUCCUUGUUUCCAACAACAAUAUUUCUAAUGUCAAUAUAAAAAGUAAAGGUGAGAGAGGACAUCCUUGUCUGGUGCCCUUCUCCACUGGAAAGCAUUCUGUCUUGACACUAUUAAUUAUUAGACUAGCCUGCUGCUUCUCGUAAAUCGCAUUUAUACUUCUGCAAUAAUUUUCGCCCAAUGAUACUAGUUCCAAUACUUUCUGUAGAAAUACCCUUGCUAAAUUAUCAAAAGCCUUCUCAGCGUCUAUUAGCAUAAACGCCAUUCUUUUACAGUAUUUGUUCUUAAUUCUAAAUAUUCCAAUAAAUCAAUCACUAUUCUCAUAUUUGUCUUUAUAUGUCUGUUUGGAAGGAAUCCUGCUUGAUCUUGGUUUAUAUUGUCCUUUAUAACUGAUUUCAGUCUGUUUGCUAGAAUACUCGCAAACAGCUUAUAAUCAUUAUUAAGCAAUGAUAUGGGUCUGUAAUUAUUAAUUGGCUGACAAUACCAUCGCUGACAAUGCCAUCGCUCCAGCGCCCACGGGGUAAUUAGAGGCUGAGAUGGGAGUAAUCAGCCUCCCAAAUUCUUCCUGGGGUAAGGGAAGAUGCAGUCUCAUCCAUGGAUGCCCAAUAAACCACCCCCAAGUUUGUAAAGAAGGAGGGGGUGGGGGCACUGGAUGGAAAGCCCCCGAGGGAGUUCGGAUCUCCUGGACGCUGUCCCCGUGAGCGCACCAAAUUCCAUUACUUAAGAUGAAAAAUUGGGUUUAAGUUUUGGACAUGCUUCGAGUGAGGAGGGGGAAAUUAAUCUGCCAAUUAAGCCAGCCACUGAGGUGCCAAAAGAGACGGAGUGGAAGAAGGAUAACAUCUAAGUUGAUAUGUUGGAACGGAACGGAAAAGGAGGGGGGGUAAAGCCUUUUUUACUAUUAUACUCUGAUUUAUUAUAAUACUUGGCAAACCCCCCCCCCCAGAAGAACCGUUUGCAUGCAGCUUGAAACAAAGCAGCGUCGCGAUCGCCCUGCCGAACGUGGCACCCAAGGGGCCGCAGCAACCGGACCACGAAUCAACUCUGGCUCCUCUGUCUUGCUGCUUUACCCCUCCGAUAUGCAGGUACAAAAACCUCACUGCGUGGCGAUCCUCGGUGCUGCGCGAAGCGGAAAGGGACACGAGGCGAGGGAACGCGAACGAAGAGAGGAAAAAAUCUUCAGAAAAACCUUCUACCAGCUGGCGAGGGGAAAGAGGGCGGUCCCCGGGCGCACCUGGCCUUAAAUAGGUAAGGCCACGCCUCCCCGGCCCGCCGAUUGGCGGGUCGGAUCGCAGGCACGCCCGGGGAUUCCCUGAGAUUCCCUGAGUCUCGCGGGGGCAAAGUCCGCCCCCGCGUGUGUGGGAGGGUGGCAGCCCGCAACCCCCUCUCCUCAGGAAUUCGGAAAUGGCUUUAUAGCAAGUGGGAUUGCAAAAUAUAAACUGUGUGGAAAUAACAAUAUUAUAUAAUUAAAGCUCCUGUUUUUUGAAUUGCCUGGAAGAAGAUAAAAGACACUCCAAAUACUGAUUUUAGAAAGAAGCAGGAUCUCGUUAGCCGCUGGAGAGACUUCAAAAAACUUUGGACGGGUUCUUAGUAAUUAGGAAUCCGCCAUUAUGGAAUAAGACCGAGCUGCAGAGUUAUAAAUAGUCAUAGGGGGAGGUGAGCUCUUAAUAUGUCAUUAUAUCUGUAUUUCAUUUUUUUUUAAAAUAAUUUUUAUUUAAGUUUUGAACAACAAAGAAAGAAAAGAAAAACAUACACAAUACAUAUCUCUAAAGAAGAAAAAAAGAUAACAAGAACACACAAAAAAGAACACAAUUCAACAAUAAAAAACAAAAAACAUAACAAUUAAAAACAAUAUCUCUUUUCCAUUUCCGUUUUUUAGUUUACUUAUUUUCUGGACUUCCUCAUACCUCCCUCUUUUGUAUUCCAAUCCAAAUUGUUUGUCCAGCAAUUUCUUUUCAACUUUUUUAAUCCCAAUCUUUAACUUUAAUAUAAUAUUGUAAUAUAUAUCUUCAAUUUCUUUAAACCUGAUCUUUAAUCUUAGUAUAAUAUAACGUUAAAAUUUUCCCUCUUAAUUGUCAGAUUUCCAUUUCUUUAAACAUCUUUAAUCCUAAUCUUAAUUUUAGUCUAUCAUUAACUUUAACCUGUACAGCUGGAAACCGCUUAUUUUCAGUCCAACAUCACUCUAGCAUUCUUUAAUUUUACAAUGUUUCUGACGAUAGUCUUUGAAUUUCUUCCAAUCUUCCUCCACCGACUCUUCUCCCUGGUCACGGAUUCUGCCAGUCAUUUCCGCCAGUUCCAUAUAGUCCAUAAGUUUCAUCUGCCAUUCCUCCAGCGUGGGAAGUUCUUGUGUCUUCCAAUAUUUUGCGAUGAGUAUUCUUGCUGCUGUUGUUGCAUACAUAAAGAAAGUUCUAUCCUUUUUAACACCAUUUGGCCGACUAUGCCCAGGAGAAAGGCCUCUGGUUUCUUAGGGAAGGUAUACUUAAAUACCUUUUUAAUUCAUUAUAUAUCAUUUCCCAGAAAACCUUAAUCUUUGGGCACGUCCACCAAAGGUGAAAAAAUGUACCUUCAGUUUCUUUACAUUUCCAACAUUUGUUAUCGGGCAAGUGAUAAAUUUUUGCAAGCUUGACUGGGGUUAUGUACCACCUGUAUAUCAUUUUCAUAAUAUUCUCUCUUAAGGCAUUACAUGCCGUAAAUUUCAUACCUGUGGUCCACAACUGUUCCCAGUCAGCAAACAUAAUGUUAUGUCCAACAUCCUGUGCCCAUUUAAUCAUAGCCGAUUUUACCGUUUCAUCCUGAGUAUUCCAUUUCAGCAGCAAGUUAUACAUUCUUGACAAAUUCUUAGUUUUGGGUUCUAACAGUUCUGUUUCUAAUUUUGAUCUUUCCACCUGGAAGCCAAUUUUCCUGUCCAAUUUAAAUGCCUCCAAUAUCUGAUAAUAAUGGAGCCAGUCUCGCACUUUGUUUUUUAGUUUUUCAAAACUCUGCAGUUUCAGUCUAUCUCCGUCUUGUUCCAAAAUUUCCCAAUAUUUCGGCCAUUUGACCUCCAUAUUGACCUUUUUCAAGGCUUUUGCUUCCAUUGGUGACAGCCACCUUGGGGUUUUGUUUUCUAGCAAAUCCUUAUAUCUUGACCAAACAUUAAAUAGCGCUUUCCUGACAGUGUGGUUUCUAAAUGCUUUAUGUGCUUUGACCUUAUCAUACCACAAAUAUGCAUGCCAUCCAAAUACAUUGUUAAAACCUUCCAAAUCCAAAAUGUCAGUGUUUUCAAGAAGUAGCCAUUCUUUCAACCAGCCAAAUGGUGCUGAUGCAUAGGUAAGUGUGAGGUCUGGCAGGGCAAAUCCGCCUCUUUCCUUUGCAUCCGUUAAAAUUUUAAAUUUUAUUCUGGGCUUCUUGCCCUGCCAGACAAAUUUAGAAAUAUCUUUCUGCCACCUCUUGAAACAAUCCAUUUUGUCAACGAUCUGCAAAGUUUGAAAGAAAAACAACAUUCUAGGCAAUACAUUCAUUUUUAUCGCAGCAAUACGGCCUAGCAGUGAAAGCUUCAAAUUUGACCAAAUUUCUCAAUCUUUUUCACUUCAGACCAACAUUUUUCAUAGUUAUCUUUAAAUAAGUUCCCAUUUUUGCUGUCAUGUUAAUCCCCAGGUAUUUAACUUUCUUAACCACUGUUAAACCUGUCUCAUUCUGAAACCUCUCUCUUUCAAACGGUGUUAAAUUUUUCUCUAAAACCUUGGUUUUUGACUUGUUCAAUUUAAAUCCUGCCACUUGACCAAAUUCCUGAAUCAGUUCUAAAACUCUUUUAGUACUAGAUUCUGGCUCCUGUAACGUCAAUACUAAGUCAUCUGCAAACGCUCUCAAUUUGUACUGUUUAGUUCCGACCUGUAUACCUUUAACCGACUGGUCCCUUCUAAUCAUAUUCAGCAAAACCUCCAGGACCGAAAUAAAAAGAAGUUGGGAACUAGGGCAACCUUGUCGUGUCCCUUUUUCAAUUUUUAGUUCUUCCGUCACAACAUUAUUUACAAUUAGUUUAGCUUUUUGUUCUGAAUAAAUUGCACCUAUACCAUUCUCAAAACCUUGGCCUACCCCCAUACCCUGGAGAUUCUUCUUCAUAAAAUUCCAAGAAAUAUUGUCAAAGGCUUUCUCCGCAUCUACAAAUAUCAAAACUGCUUUGGUGUUUAUAUUCACUUCUAAUUUUUCCAAAAUUUCAAUUAUAUUCCUCAAAUUGUCAGACAAAUGUCUUCCUGGGAGAAAGCCCGCUUGGUCUUUAUGGAUCUCUUCCAUCAGCACUUUCUUGAAUCUCUUAGCCAAAAUAUCUGCAAAAAUUUUGUCAUCCACAUUCAAUAAUGAUAUAGGGCGGUAGUUCUUAAGCUGUGUCUUUUCAGUCUCUGUCUUUGGUACAAGUGUAAUAUAUGCUUCUUUCCACGACUCUGGUGCUCUUUUCCCCUCCAUUAUUUCAUUGCAAACCUCUUUCAAAGGUUGGAUUAACCAUUCUUUUAAAGAUCUGUAGUAUCUAGAGGUCAAGCCGUCUGGUCCUGGAGAUUUACCCAAUUGCAUGUUUUGAAUGGCACCUUCUAUUUCUUGUUCAGUUAUUCUAUGAUUCAAAAUUAAUUUAUUUUCUUGAGAUAUUUUUGUAAUCCAUUUGUUUUCAAAAAUUGGUCUAAGUCUGUUUCUUUCAAUGGCCCUUGAGUAUAUAAUCGUUUAAAGUACCUCUGGAAACAACUUCUAAUCUCUGCAGGGUUCUGUAUGUUUCUUCCUUCCACCUCUAAGUUCGUAAUCGUAUUUAAUUUUUCUCUCUUUUUCAUUUGCCAUGCUAACAAUUUACCACAUUUAUUGGCCGACUCAAAAGUCUUUUGUCUCAUUUGUUUAAUUUUCCAUUCUAUUUCCUGAUUCAUCAUUUUCAUAUAUUGUACUUGAUAUAGCUUUAACUCUCGCAGAAUCUCUUGAGAUUUGGGAUUUACUCUCAGUCUUUUUUCACAUUCCUUUAUUUUGUCCAUUAUCUUAUCCUUCUUCUCAUUUUGAGUUCUUUUCUUUAUUGCAUUCUGUUGUAUUAAGAACCCUCUCAUAACUGCUUUACUAGCGUCCCAGAUUACUCUUUUCUCCACAUUGGUACUAAGGUUUAUCUCAAAGUAAUCUCUCAGAGUUUUUUGGGCCUUCUUAAGGAGUUCCUCAUCUCUAAAUAAGGUGUCAUUCAUCUUCCAUCUGAAGGAGCCAGUUGGUGUCAGUCUCAUUUCCAUCUUAACAGCAUUAUGGUCGGAGCAAAUUUUCGGGCAGAUUUCCACCUUUCUUGUCUUUGGUGCCAUUCCUCUAGUUAUCCAAAUUUGGUCAAUUCUUGUCCAUGUCAUUUUGGCUUCAGAAAAGAAAGUUCCCUCUUUAGCCAUGGGAUUUCUUAUUCUCCAAAUGUCCACUAAAUCCAAGUUGUCUGUCAUGUCAAAAAAAGUUUUCGGUAGUCUACCAUCCUUGGUGACUACCUGUCUUUGUGCCUUGUCCAUAUAUGUAGAUACCACUCCAUUCAUAUCUCCCAUCAAAAUCAUGUUAUAAUCCAUAUGGUCCAUCAGGGUCUCGUGCAACUUCUUAAAAAAUUCAGAUUUCCCAUCAUUUGGUGCAUAAAUUCCUACAAUCAGAAAUUUUUCUCCUUGUGUUUGAAUUUCAAUUGCCACAAAUCUUCCUUGGUCAUCUUUAAAAACAAAUUUCAGUGAUAAAUUGUCUUUUGCAUAAAUCACAACCCCUCUUUUUUUUACUUUGUCCGACGAAAUAAACUCCUGACCAAGUCUUUUAUUUAUCAACAAUUUCCUGUGUAAUCUUGUUAUAUGUGUUUCUUGUAAACAAAUUAGGUCCAAUUGUUCCUUUUUUUAAUAUAUGAAAUACUGACUUCCUUUUCUGAGGGGAAUUCAAACCCCGACAGUUCCAUGUUAAAAGUUGCAGGGCCAUGAUGUUAUUGUUUUAAUUCUCCUCCUACUGCACCUAGUGCCUGUUCCUCGUCCGUCGGUGGUAUCACUUUUUUCGAGCGGUCUUUUGGUUCCGGAGAUAGUUCUUUUUGUAGGUCUUCUCCGUGGUCUCUCCAAAAUUUGUCUUUGUCGUCUUCCGAUCUUAUUUUCCUCUUCUUUCCUUUGUAACUAAAAGAUAGGCCUUGGGGAAGUUCCCACCUAAAGUUAAUACUGUUCCUUCUCAGCAGGGUGACCAAGUCUUUGUAGUUUGAUCUGAGAUCCAGAAGGUAUUUCGGAAUGUCUUUAAAUAUUUCAACCCUUGUCCGCUGGAUUUCCAGUGUCUUCUUGAAAUGAAAACCCAAAAUCUUAUCCCUCUCUUCUUUUGUUCGAAAGGUAAUCAAACAGUCUCUCACCUUCUUCUCUCCUCUUUUCCCAAGUCUGAAAGCAUUUACUAUUUUGAAGCUAUCUUUUACCAAUUCUGGAUCCCAAAAGUCCAAAAAUUCCUGCAUGAGAAAUUCAGCUAGAUUGUCCUUUUCCACUUCAGGUACCGAUCUGACCCGUAAAUUCACUUGUUUUUCCUUCAAUUCUAUCAUAGACAGGGUCAAUUUAUGAUCUUCCAAUUGUUUGUGCAUUGAUGGUAUUGUCUCUUGAACCUCUUUAACCUCUGUAGCAGAAGUUGUAGCAAUUUCUUUGGCCUCCUCGGCAAUCUGACGUAUUGAGGCCGAUUCCUCUAAUAAUUUCUGAAUAGUCUCUGUAUUAGUGUUUACUUUCUGGCCCAAAUUGUUUAAGCUUGCUGUAUUCUGAUUAAUACUUGUUGUAUUUUGAUCAAUCUUGUCACAUGCCUCUGCUACUUGUUGACUUAUUCUAUUUAACGAUUCAUUAACCUUGGCCAAAACUUGAGCAAAGGCAUCAUCACUUGUCAUACCUUUUACUUUUGAUUGUGCCGAUGAGGCUGUUGUUGGGGUUCCAGAGGCACCUGAAGCCGAAAAUCUCCUUUGUAAUCCUUCUUCUGUUCGAAAAACCCUGCCCGACCUUGUAGCCUGUGAAGCUUCUGUUCUCUCUUUACCAUCUGCCAUUCCUUUAGAUAAAGCUCAAGGUCAGACACGCAGUUAAAUUCAAACAGUGGAAAUUCCCAGCAGAGCUGUGUGAAAAUUCCUCAAGCCAGCUACAGUUUCAAUUAUAACAGAUUGUAACAAUUCCAAGUUCCACUAGGGGGACACUGUAACAGUCAUAAAAGUUCUUGGAUACUUUACUUUCUUUUUUUUUAUUAUUAUUUUUUUUUAAUACUUAUUUUUUUAAUAAAUUUGUAUUCUGUCCCAAAGGAGUGCAGGGCAGCAAGCAACAAAGCAGCAGAGCAAUGCAAAAAGUAAAAAUGAAGAAAUAUUUAUUAAACAAAAUACAAAAGGGCCAUAUUUCUAAAACAGAAAGAUUUGUUUCACAUUUUAUGCCCCUAGUUUUUUUCUACAGAGGCUGUUAAACGUGGCUAAAUAUAAGUGUCUGGAAAGCUCAUGCAAACUCCAUGCCCCCAUAGGAAAACAAGUACAAAGCAAAAGCAGAAAAGAAAGAUCCCUAACGGCAACUAAGUUUUAUUUGCUUUUCACACUCCGCCCUUCCUGUGAGGAACUUCCAGAAGCUCUCACGACUCCUUUUUUUUUUUUUUUUAAAGAAUAUUUAUUCCAAUUUUAUAGUUACAAAAAAAAAAAGUAUAAAAAAGAGAAACACAAACCACAUACAUCUUAUAAAAAAUAAACAAUAAAAAAGGAAUAAGAAAAACAGAAAAUCACAGUAAAAAAAAAAAUAACAAAAAACAUAUUUGACCAUUACAAACCAUUUUCCCAUUUACUUAUUUCCAUGACUUCCUCUCACCUCCCUGCUUUGUAUUCUAGUUUAAAUCGUAUCUCCAGCAAAUCCUUCUAACCUUCUUUUCUUUUACUUAUUUUAACAUUCGAAAGUAUUUAAUUCUCCUCUAUCCUCAUUUUACACUUCAUAUUUACUUAUUCCAUUAUACCCUGUCUGCCAAUACGGUCUAAUAUUCUUCUCCAACCUUUUUCUAACAUUCUUUUAUAUUGCAAUGUUUCUGAAGAUAUAUUUUAAAUUUUUUCCAGUCUUCUUCCAUCAACCCUUCUUCCUGAUCUCGAAUUCUGCCGGUCAUCUCAGCCAGUUCCAUAUAGUCCAUCACUUUCCUCUGCCAUUCUUCUCGGGUAGGCAAUUCUUGUGUCUUCCAGUAUUUCCCAAUGAGUAUUCUUGCCGCUGCUGUCGCAUACAUAAAAAAUUUCCUGUCUUCCCUUCUCACCAAUUGACCGACCCUGCCCAAGAGGACAGCCUCUGGUUUCUUCACAAAAGUGUAUUUCAAUACCUUUUUAAUUCAUUAUAUAUCAUUUCCCAGAAGGCCUUGAUCUUUGGGCACGUCCACCAAAGGUGAAAAAAAGUACCUUCAUUUUCUUUACAUUUCCAACAUUUAUUAUCAGGCAAAUGAUAGAUUUUUGCUAGCUUGACUGGGGUCAAGUACCACCUAUAUAUCAUUUUCAUUAUAUUUUCUCUUAAGGCGUUACAAGCCUUAAAUUUCAUACCUGUGGUCCAUAACCGUUCCCAGUCAGCAAACAUGAUAUUAUGCCCCACAUCUUGUGCCCAUUUAAUCAUCGCAGAUUUAACCAUUUCAUCCUGUGUAUUCCAUUUCAACAGCAGAUUAUACAUUCUCGACAAAUUUUUAGUUUUAGGUUCUAACAAUUCCAUUUCCAGUUUAGAUUUUUCCUCCUGGAAACCAAUCUUUUUAUCUAGGUUAAAAACCUCCCUUAUUUGAUAGUAGUGAAGCCAAUCUCAAACUUUAGUUUUUAAUUUAUCAAAGCUCUGCAAUUUUAAUUUAUCUCCAACUUGUUCUAAAAUUUCACAAUAUUUUGGCCAGUUUGUCUCCAUAUUUGUUUUUUCAAUGCCUUUGCCUCCAUUGGUGACAGCCACCUUGGUGUUUUACUUUCCAACAGAUCCUUAUAUCUCACCCAGACAUUAAACAAUGCUUUCCUGACAAUAUGAUUCUUAAAGGCCUUAUGCGCUUUAACUUUGUCAUACCAUAAAUAUGCAUGCCAUCCAAACACAUUAUCAAAACCUUCUAGAUCUAAAAUGUCCACAUUUUCAAGAAGUAGCCAAUCUUUCAGCCAACAAAAGGCGGCUGAUUCAUAGUAAAGUUUAAGAUCUGGCAGGGCAAAUCCCCCUCUUUCCUUCGCAUCUGUUAAUAUCUUAAAUUUUAUUCUAGGUUUUUUGCCCUGCCAGAUAAAUUUAGAAAUAUCUCUUUGCCACCUCUUGAAACAGUCCAUUUUGUCCACAAUUUGUAAUGUUUGAAACAAAAACAACAUUCUAGGCAAUACAUUCAUCUUUAUCGCUGCAAUUCGGCCUAACAAUGAUAACUUCAAUUUUGACCAUAUUUCUAAAUCCUUCUUCACUUCUGACCAACAUUUUUCAUAAUUAUCUUUAAACAGAUUCACAUUUUUGGCAGUCAUAUUCACCCCUAGAUAUUUCACUUUAUUAACAAUUGUUAAUCCUGUCUCUUUCUGAAACCUCUCCUUCUCAAUCUCUGUAAGGUUUUUCUCUAAUACCUUAGUUUUCAUCUUGUUUAAUUUGAAACCUGCUACUUGACCAAAUUCUUGGAUUAAUUGUAAUACUCUUUUUGUGCUAGCUUCUGGCUCCUGUAGUGUCAAAACUAAGUCAUCAGCAAAAGCUUUCAAUUUGUACUGUUUAGCUCCGAGUUGUAUACCUUUAACCAAUUGGUCUUUUCUGAUCUUAUUGAGCAAAACCUCCAGGACCGAUAUAAAAAGCAAUGGGGAGAUUGGGCAACCCUGUCUUGUUCCUUUCUCUAUCUUAAAUUCUUCUGUAACUACAUUAUUCACAAUAAGCUUGGCUUUUUGUUCUGAAUAAAUUGCACCUAUACCAUUUUCAAAACUUUGACCUACCCCCAUCCCCUGCAAAUUUUUCUUCAUAAAACUCCAAGAAAUAUUGUCAAACGCUUUCUCUGCGUCUACAAAUAUUAAAACAGCUUUAGUAUUGAUAUUAACUUGCAAUUUUUCCAGAAUAUUAAUAAUAUUCCUAGUAUUAUCUGACAAAUGUCUCCCAGGGAGAAAGCCCGCCUGGUCUUUAUGGAUCUCUUUUACCAAUACAUUUUUUAAUCUUUUAGCCAUAAUUUCCGCAAAAAUUUUGUAAUCCACAUUUAGUAGGGAUAUGGGACGGUAGUUCUUCAACUGUGUCUUCUCCACUUCAGUUUUUGGUAUAAGUGUAAUGUAUGCUUCUUUCCACGACUCGGGUGCUUUUCCUCCCCGUAGUAUUUCAUUGCAAAGUUCUUUCAACGGUUGCAAUAACCAUUCUUUCAGAGUUUUGUAGUACUUUGCAGUUAGUCCAUCCGGCCCUGGAGAUUUGCCCAAUUUCAUAUUCUGAAUGGCUCCUUCCACCUCUUGAUCAGAUAUUGUAGAGUUUAAUAUUGAUUUACUCUCUUGAGAUACUUUUUGUAAUCCAUUAUUUUUCAAAAAUCGGUCAAUAUCUAAUUCUUUCUGAGUCUCCUGCGUAUAUAACUGUUUAAAAUAGUUCUGAAAGCACUUCCGAAUCUCUCCAGGAUUCUGUAUGUUCUUCCCUUCUACUACCAAGUUCGUAAUCGUAUUCAGCUUUUGUCUUUUUUUCAUUUGCCAGGCCAGUAAUUUCCCACAUUUAUUAGCCGAUUCGAAAGUCUUUUGUUUCAUCUGUUUGAUCUUCCAUUCUAUCUCCUGGUUCAUCAGUUUCAUAUAUUGUACUUGGUAUAACUUUAUCUCUUUUAGAAUCUCCUGUGAGUUCGGUUUCGCCCUCAGUCUUUUUCUCCAUCCUUAAUUUUCUCCAAGAUUUUUCUCUCUUCUCAUUUUGAUAUCUUUUCCUAAUUGCGUUUUGUUGUAUCAAAAAUCCUCUCAUCACCGCUUUGCUGGCAUCCCAAAUCACUCUUUUUUCUGUCGUAGUAUUCAAAUUUAUCUCAAAAUAGUCUUUCAAAUUCUUCUGAGCCUUUUUAAUAAUUUCCUCAUUCCUAAAUAAGGUGUCAUUCAUCCUCCAUCUGAAAGCUCCAAUUGGCAUUGGUGUCAUUUCAAUCUUUACUGGGUUAUGAUCAGAGCAAAUUUUCGGGCAAAUCACCGCUUUUUUAAUCUUAGGGGCCAGUCCUCUAGUUAUCCAGAUUUGGUCUAUUCUUGUCCAUGUCAUAUUUGCUUCAGAGAAGAAGGUUCCCUCUCUUUCCAAGGGGUUCUUUAUUCGCCAAAUAUCCACAAGAUCCAUAUUGUCAGUCAUUUCAAAAAUGUCUUUGGUAAUCUUCCAUCUUUUGUCACUGUUUGUCUUUGGGCUUUGUCCAUAUUUGUAGACACUACUCCAUUCAUAUCUCCCAUCAAAAUAAUGUUAUAAUCCAGAUAAUCCAGGAGAGUUUCAUGCAAUUUCUUAAAGAAUUCUGAUUUUCCCUCAUUUGGUGCAUAUACACCUAUUAUCAAAAAUUUCUGUCCUUGAAACUGGAUUUCAAUUGCAAUAUAUCUUCCUUGAUCAUCUUUAAAUAUAAAUUUUGGUGACAGGCUUUCCUUCGCAUAAAGUACUACCCCUCUUUUUUUUACAUUGUCCGAUGAAAUAAAUUCUUGUCCCAAUCUUUUAUUUAUCAAAAUUUUUCGAUGUAGCCUUGUCACAUGAGUUUCUUGUAAGCAAAUCAAGUCCAAAUGUUCUUUUUUCAAUGUAUGAAAUACUCUCCCCCUUUUGCCGACCAAUUUAGACCAUUAAUAUUCCAACUUAAAACUUGUAGUGUCAUUUUGUAGUUACUCUCCUUCUCCUCCAACAGCCCCAAGAAGAUUGUCAAUAUCUGUUGGUGGCGUUGAUUUCACUUUUUUUUGCAGACUCUUAUCCGGUAUCGCAGUGUCUUUUCCCAGUCCUUUCUGUAGAUCUUCUUCGUAUGCACUCAAAAACUUAUUCUUUUCCUCCACUGAUCUAAUCUUGGUCUUUCUUCCUUUAAAGCUAAAGGAUAGACCUUGGGGAAAUUCCCACCUGAAAAGGAUUUUAUUUUUUCUCAGCAAGUCCACCAAAUCUCCAAAAUCUUUUCUUAGAUCCAGAAGAUGUUUUGGUAUAUCUUUGAAGAUUUCCACUUUUGAUUGUAUGAUUGUCAAAGGUUUUUCGUAAUGCAAGCCCAAAAUUUUGUCCCUUUCUUCUUUGGAUCGGAGGGUGAUCAGACAAUCCCUUAUUUUAAUCUUUCUUCCUCCUUUCCCCAGUCGAAAGGCCCUCACAAUCCUAAAAUCCUCUUGUUUCAAUUCCGAUUUCCAAAAAUCCAAAAAUUCUUGUGUCAGAAAAUCUAUCAGGGUACCUUUCUCCAACUCAGGAACAGCUCUAAUUCUAAGAUUUGUUUGUUUGUCUUUAAGGUCAAUCAUAGACAACGUUAACUUAUGUUCUGCAAUCUCUUUCUGCAGGUCUGGUACCUUCUCAGUUUCCAAUUGUCCCAAUUUAAAUUCUACAGCAGCAGUCUUUUCCUGUAUAGACUUUGAGUCUUGCAAUAAUCUCUGAAUAGAUUCCGUGUUACUGUUUACUUUUUUCUCCAAAUUGUCUAAUGUUUCUGUAUUUAAGUCAAUUUUCCUGUUUGCAAUGUCCACUUUCUGGUUCGUUUCCUCCACUUUCCUGUUCGUCUCCCCCACCCUUGUACUUAGUUGCUGUAUCGAUUCAUUAAUCUUAGCCAGAGCACUGGCCAAAAAUUCCUCAGACAUUCCACCAGACUUAGAUUGUAUUGCCGAUGCAGGCAAACCAGCAGAUGACUGCCUUCUGUGUACCCAGGGUUUCCCUGAUCACAAGACUGACUGGUCUUUUUGAUGACCAUCAGCCAUAACAAAGUGAAGGUCAAAUUCCUUUCCCACGUCUGGUAUUCCUGUUUACAAAUGGAAAGUUCCUUUCCUGUAGUUACAAGGAGUCCCACUAGGUGGACACUGUUACCACCUAGCUAGUUACUGUCCUUUUAGAAUAGCAAAAGAGGGAAACUAAGUAGAAAAAACAAAAUAUAAAGCAGACAAAGCAACUUUCCAGUUCUUUCCAAUCUUUUCCUCAACAAAAUUGGCCACAAUGUAUCUUCUUUGCAGCCGGCAAGCAGCUCUGACAGCUUUGACAGCUGAGACGUCCACUUAACAAAUCGCUCUUUGAAUCCUUAAAUUUAAGCAGUCCGGUAAAAUCAAAUACCUUUCCCUUAUCCCUCCAAAGGGUAGAUCCCACCAAAGUUCUCAGGUCAGAAAGAAAACUUUUGUUUCAGUUCAAUUUUCUCACGUUUAGCUCCCAAUCUUUAUGCUUUAUUCAACAUACAGUGCAGGGAAGCGGACUUCCUGUUUGCGCUUCCACCGCGGUAGCCAAUUCAGACGUUUUUCAACUUAAAACUUUUCCACUUUUACGCAGAUAAUCCAAUUAGUCCAAUUAGUGCUCUUUUUAAUCCAAUUCCUCUACUCACGGUUUAGAUUUAAGUCCAAAUGUCCCAGGAAUAAGUCAGCGCUCUCCAGCAACGGCAAUACGGCUUCGCUCAGUGAAAGCAGCGAUCUGCUCGCAGCACCGCGCUUCUCCCCCGCUCCCUUCUGAAGCCUCAAAAAAAGGCUUCCUUUCGGGUUGGGGGGGCGCUCCAAGGUGCCCGCCGAGCCUCCACGUUCGCAGGCGUCCGCGCCUGCGAUUUCUAAGGGUCCCCGCUUCGCCGGAGCGCACAGGACCCGAUCUCCCACUGAGCUAUCCCCUCCGAGACUCAAAGGAGGUCCGCCAUUGCUGCUGGCGCUGACCGGAAGUACUUUACUUUCUUUUUUAAGUCCCCCCAGUUUAUUCAGAAAGAUAACAGUCUAUCUAAUAUAAUUACUUGAGACCUGGAGAUAUAUGUCCACAUAAUAUAUCCAAAUUCAUAUUUCCUGCGCAGGACUAGCUGUCAAAAUAUAUUUCCAGACAGUACCUCUCAUCCGUUUUUGAGUUGCCUCUGGAAAUCCGUUCCCAAGGGAUUGAGCGAUGGUUUAGUCCCUUUUAUUUCUACUUCUUUAUACAGAAAUCAAAUCCACAAUUCUCCCCCCUUUUCCCUUGGUUUAAGGGGGGGGGGGGAAUCCAGGUUAGAUGAUUGGAUUAAAGUCCGCUAAAACCUCUUUUCCUGCGCUUCCGCUUUCAAGUUCAAAGCUUUAUUUUAUCUACAAAUAGAAAGAGGUAGACUUCCUUUUUAUACCUCUUUCCGUUUUCGGCCAGAUUCAAAAUUUAUGCAGUCCCAAUUACGUUAUAUCCUACUCACGGAUCGUUGAUUUUCAAGUCCAAAUUCCAAGGAAAAAAGGCAGCGCUCUCCGGUUAACAACUUGCGGCUUCACUCCACGAAAGAAGCAGACAGCCCACAGCACAGCGCUCCUUCCCCCGCUCCGAUUCCGAGCCCGUUGCCGGGCUUUUUACCGGGUUGGGGGGGCGCCAAAUAUGCCCGCUGGGUCCCAGGUACACAGGCUUCCCCCGCCUGUGGUUCUCAGGGGUCCCCCGCUACGCCGAAGCGGGAUCCGACCCUAUUUUUCGUGGCGAGAUUUCCUCCGAUCGAGGAAAUCCGCCAUUAACCGCUGGCGCCACCUCCAGAAGUAUUAUAUCUGUAUUUCAAGUCCGAUUUGGUAAAUCUCCUCUGGAAAGGCUAAUGUUGGAUGCAACCGGUCUGGGAAAAUUAAUGAGCAAACGCCUAGAUUUGAUUUCAUCAGAAUUGAGAGAAGAUGGCACCUGCCAGCAGCGAAAUGACUUUUGGAUUGAUUUGCUGCCUUAGGCUUCCGCCCUCAGGUUCCCCCCCUGAGGUCGAGGUGACUUGCGCCUAGUCCCUCAUCUCUCUCUCUCUCUGGCACCAGGUCCGCCUCGAGAUUGCAGGAGCAUGGAUCUCCAUCCGUCUCUCUGGCACGCUGCUCUGGACGUCCCCUUCAAUAGGAAGAUUUAAAGUAACUAUUGGAAAGACUAUUCAAGGCAGCAGAGCUAUGAGAUGAUCAGAGCCCCCCGAACUUGAAGCAUGGGAAGUCCCAACAAAAAAUAUAUAUAUAAUUUAGGCAGAAUAUUUGGACUAUUUGAUAUGUAUUUGUAUAAUUUGGAACAUUCAAUGUGAUUUGAUUGGAUUGUUAAAAUGGGAAACGUAAUAAAAAUGAAUUUUUAAAAAUAUUGCUUGAUGUAUUUCCAUUAUCGUGAUUGGUGCAUUUAAUUGUUCCAUUUUAUUUUCACUUACUUUUGGAAUUUGUUUGCCCUGUAGAUAUUUUAUUAUUUCUUGUUCUGUUACUGAUCCUCUACUAUAUAGAUUAGCAAAGUAAUUUACAAAACAUUUAUUUAUUUUUUCUUCUGUAUCUAAUGUCUUCCCUUCAUUAAUUACUUUGUUUGUCUCUCUCUCUGCUUUUUCUUUAUCUGCCAAGCAAGAAGUUUACCUGGCCUAUUGCCUAAUUCAAAUGAUUUUUGUUUCCUCCACUUUAUAUUAUUUUCCAAUUCAUUGCUUAAUAGUGUUGAGAUUGUAAUAUUUUAAUUUGUUGAUUUAUUGAGACAUCUUUAGGUGUUUUAGCCAAUAGUUUUUCAUAAUGCGCUAUUUCUUGUUGAAUUUGAUUUAAUUUAGUUUCUCUAAUUCUUCUUUGUAUUAUAUUCUGGUUUAUAUAGAAGCCCCUUAUAUAAGCCUUCCCAGCAUCCCAUAUCACUCUAAGGUCCGUGUCUUGUGCCAUAUUAAUUUCAAAAAAUUAUUUCAUUAACUGUUGGGCUUUUUCUACUAUCUUCUCGUCAUUUAGCAAUCUCUCAUUCAUUCUCCAGCUUUUGUUUUUCUUUUUAUUAUACCUUAUUUCUAGCAUCACCUGGUUGGAUGCCUGCAGAGGGGGCGUGGGCGCCAGCCAGGUGAGGUGGAGGCAGGGGGCAACCGCCCCCUGCUAGGGGCGGUGCUCGGGCUCCCGCCCACAACCACUCCCCUCUCUUCCAGGGAGGAGAGUCUUUAUGAUCUGACAGCGAUUUAGGCAAUGUCUCUGUUUUGUUUAUUAUCGGUAUAAGAUUAUUAGAAACCCAUAUUGCAUCUGACCGGGUUGCUGAUUUGUUUGCAUCUGAAUAGAAUGUAUACUGUCUUUCCUUCUCAUUUUUCUCCCUCCAUACAUCCUUUAAGUUUAAGUCAUUUACCAUCUGGAAGAAUGUUAUUGGGAGUCUCCCUGUUUUGGGUUUUAUUCCCCUUUCAGUGCUAUCCCACUUCGUUGAAGUAACCCCAUUCAGAUCACCCAUUAUAAUCGUAUUCUCAUUAGUAUAUUCUAAUAGUUUCCUUUGUAUUUUUUUUAAGUAUACAGUUUGAUUCCCAUUUGGCGCAUAUACACCUAUUAAUAAUAAUUUCUCUUUCUCUUUAUUCAAUUGAAUUCCCAAUGUUCUUCCACCAUCAUCUUUAAAUAAUAAUUUGGCUUCUAAUUAUGGGUAUGUAUAUAUAACAAUUCCCCUUUUUUGUUAUGUCUGAAGCUAUAAAUUCUGUGCCCAGUCUUUUAUUAAUUAACACUCUUUCAUGGUUUUUUUGCGAUAUGCGUUUCUUGUUGACAAAUCACGUCCCAACUUUUCUUCUUUAAUAUAUGUUUCGUCCUAUUACUCUUUUUCUUAUUAUUUAACCCAUUAAUUUUCCAAGAGAUUACAUUCAAAUUCAUCAAUUUUAUUAGCGAAGGUGACAAAUAAAAAGGAAAAUAUGUAGCGUAUAGAGAGUCAAUCAGAUUUAUAUAGAGAUUUAUCUGCUUUGAGAAUUAAGUUGUGCUGCGUUAUUUGUCUGUUUCUUAGGUCACUCUUGCCAAAUUAUCUCCUCCGUCUUCUGUCACUCCUUCUGUUUCCUCUUCUCUAUCUUGGUUCCCCUCACCUCCCAGUUCCUUUUUGUAUGUUCUUCUGAAUUUCUCCAUUUCAUCUAUAGAUCUUAUGUUCCUUUUUCUAUCUUUAAAUGUGAAAGACAAUCUCUCAGGCAAUAGCCAUUUGAACAUAAUUCCUUUAGAUUUCAGCACAUCUGUCAAUAUCUUGUAAUUAUUUCAUUUUUUAAGAAUUCGUUUAGGAAUUUCUUUGUAUAUUAAUAUAUUAUGUCCAUCUAUUGUCAUUCUUCUUUUUUGUAAGAUCUUAUCUUUCAGCAACCUCAAAUUGAGGAAAACUAGACAAUCCCCUGGACCCUUAAAUGGUCUUUUAGUAUCUGGUUUCAUCCUGAAAAUUUUGUCAGUAUCCAAUAUCAAAUCUUCAUCUCUCACUCCAAGCCAUUCCGCUAUUUCCUAAUGUUUAGUCAAAAGUUCAUUUCUUGCAAUUUGAAGUCAUUAGUUUGGGUCCUACCCCCUGGAGGAGCAGAAAAAAGUCUGCACCAUAUCCGUGUGAAAGCCUUUCAGAUAUUGGAAGAUGGCUGUCCUACAACCUCCAUACCCUCUAAAUGUUCAUAUUUUCCAGGGACAGUUCCCGAAUUAUGAAAGCCAUGCCGGUUUUUAAUUUGAUCUCCGGACAUCCAUAUUUCUCCUGCCAUUGCCACCACUGCCGAGCUUGGAGACGAAGAUGAGCCAGUGCUCAUGGCUGUGAGGAAGCAUUCUGUUGCCAUUCUGUUGCCUCUCCACAACCUCUCCAUGGCCACCGCUGCCAGCCUCCUCCCUUGGCCACCUCACAGUGGCUGCUGGAGAGAGGGCGAGGAGGAGAGGCUGCUGCUGCCCCACUUCCACCAAGGACCAACCUCACGUGAUGUACCAGCUGAGGUGCAGGCAAUUGGCAGGGCCAUCUUAGGCAGGAAGAAAGGGGGAGGGGAGAGGAGCACAAGGAGUCUUUAUUUAAAAAAUGCUUUGUGUGUCCGCAUCUAAUUUUUCCCAUUUCUAAAAUGUAUUUAUUUGUGUGGGUUUCUCUAGAUGUAAAUCUACCAGAGAAUAAAAUUGGGGUUAAGGGGUUUUCUCAGGACAGUGGAGUGUGUGUGUGUGUGUGCUGUGGUCUGUUGGUGUAGCGUAGUGGAGGUGGACCAAAAAAUGGGGGGUCGAAGAGUGUCAAUUGGUCCGAGGAGUGAGAAAUGUACCUAUUUUCUAUUGGAAUUUCAGCUCCGGUCGUCCGAGCUGAUAAGGCUCAUCUUCCUUUGAGCCCAGCAGAGCAUUAAAACAACUCCACAGCGGAAGGAUGAGGCAAGUAUGGGCUACAUUGCUAUGCUUUAUUACUAAGCUAUGCAGAGAGCAAAUAUACAUGUUCUCUCUCUGAGAGCAGAGAGCAACUGAACAAAGGAAACAACAGAACAAAGGAAACAGGAAACCAGUAACGUCACAUCCCGUCUCCCUUUCCCGUGAGAAUCCAACAGUGUCUGGACUCUGUGGAAUGUAAACAGUGCUGUGACUGCAAGCAGCUGCUCAGUGAGGAAACAGAAACCAACAUCCUCCCCCUUUCUGUGAACACCACUGGGCAGCGUGUUCGUACAAUAUUAGUACAAACCCAAUUUCUGUACAUAGGUACAGUGUUGAUCCCUUGGAACAACCUUGGACAAUAAAUCAGCAGGAAUUUCAUUACCUGGCAUGUAGGACACCGUUACGAGUCCUUUCUGAACACAUUCUCUAGCAUGUUGCAGCUUCAGUUGCAAGUGCUUCGUGUUUUGCUUACAACCUUCAGAAGUCAGCAAAGCCAAACAUGCUUUGUUGUCCUGAUAAACUUGGAUUGGACAUUCAACAGGAAUUCUCAUGUCUUUGCACAACUGUAACAACCAUUCACAAUCCACAAGUGAAUAAGACAGUGCAUUCAGUUCAGCUUCACAAGUACUUAAGCUGACUGUUGUUUGCUUCUUGCACGACCAAUCAAAUGGACCCUGAUUGUACAUGUAGCAAACUCCAGACGUGCUUUUCCUGUCUGUAGUGUCACUUCCAAAACUUGCAUCAGCAGGGACCUCCGGGUUAGCGCCAUCGGCAAUGGCGGAGUUCCUCUGACCGAGAGGAACCCGCUCCGUGAAAAUCGGGUCUUGCCGCCGCGGCAAAGGCGGAGACCCUCUAAAAAUCCCAGGCGAAGGAAGCCUGGGAAUGUGGGAUUCGGCUGACACCAGGAGAGCCUCCCCUACUCGCAGGGAAACCCUUUUUCGGGGAUCCAAAGUGACGUGGGGUGAGUGGCGCGGUGUUUUGAAUCAACCGUUACUUUUAUGGAGUGAAGCCGCACAGCCGUUGCCGGAGAGCGCUGACUUUUUCCUGUGGACAAUUGGACUCUAAACAAGUACCCGUGAGUAGAACGGAAAAUUGGAUUAAGAAACAUUUUAAUUUGGCACUGAAGCGGGAAGGCUCUAAACAGGAAGUCCGCCUCCCGUUUUUGUAACUAAAUUGAAGCAAAAACUUUGUAAGCUAAAGUCUGGAAAGUCGUAUAUAAAGGUCUAAAUUUCCUUCAGUUAUUACCACCCAAACCCCUCUUGGAAGCAGGAGAAAAGGGGGGGGGGAUUUUUGACUGUUUAAGCCUGCAGGAGAGAGAGUAAACAAAGAUAAAUUUCCACCGUCUCAAACCUGGGAACGGGGUGUCAGAGACAGAAAUUUAUGGGGAAGUUCAUCGACUGUGAAUGGAACGUCUUUUGACAGAUAUUAAAAAGGAGAAACAAAUUGACUCCAAUGUUGCUUCUUGCAUUCAAAAGAAACAAAAUAUUUGAAAAAUGAAAGUAAUUUUCUUUUGUUGGUCCUGCUUUCAAAAGAUGGAUACAAAUAGAAAUUGUCUCCUCUAGAGGAGCUUGUUAAUUUGUUGCCGGAGUCGAUCUGGGGCUUUCACAGCUGUAAGAUUAGGAUCGUGAGACCAGACUCUGACCUUGAAUAAAAAUGUGUUUUUUGUGUGUUUUGGUGCUUGCUUUUUGCAAGACAAGCGCUUUGCUGGAGCAGAUGCAUGAGAAGAUGGAUUUGAUGACUGUUGCAGUUAAAAACUUUGGACAAACGGCGAAUGCCCAUAUAGAAACCAUUCAGGAACCAGCCCAGGAACUUGUUUUGACAGGGCAAGCGCAAGUGCAGAAGAUAACGGAGGAGGUUGCUGUUGAACCUCAAGUAACACAAAUGGAGAGAUCCGAGGCCUUGGAGGAGCAUAAGCCACUGUUCUUGAAGUUUGAAUCUGGAGUGGACCAGGGGGGGUCUGGAGUUGUGAGGGCUCUUAAUUCCAGAAGGACUUUGAAACAUGCUUUUAAAUACUUCCUGGAUUACAGUGUUGACUGUGGGGAAUGGGACUUUGGGAAUGGGCUGAUCUGCUGAGGGGAGAUGGAGAUAUUUUUGGAUUGGAGUCCUCCCGAGACCUACCCCCCAAUGAGAAAGGAAAGAAAUUAAGAAAAAGAUCAACAAAAGACAAAGUAAAGUGCAGGUAUAAACAAGAAGAAGAUCUGCAGAAGGGACAUGGAAAAGACUUAAGACCCUCGGACAUAAGAUCACCAGGUUGAUGGACUAGAUGGAAUGGACAAGAAGGACUGACAAAACCCGAGACCAGGAAGAAGAGACG